CUGCUGCUGGUGGUGAUCACGCUCACGGCUCACGCAUGAUGCCCCGGGGAGCUGUGAUUAGCCACCUCCACCCCGGCCGGCGCUGUUUCGUCUCUGUCGGUUGCGUUGGUCACACGUACUAGUACGAGAGUUCUCGGCUGCUAGGAGGUGGCGAUCGGUGCAUGUGCUGCUGUUCGUUCGAGCGGUAGUGCAGCUGGUGCCGGCACGGUCUGUUGGGGCAGGUGGUUGGAUCGGAUCGCCCGAGUCCACCACACGCCCUGCGUCCGGCCGACCGCCUGCAAACGCAAGUAAACAUCGGAGCGUAAUAUAAUGGCCACCCAUAGGGGCAGAAGAUCUGAAUCUGCAUCGGGCUUGGGCCCGUGAUCUCACCAGAGGUUAGUUAACUUUGAACUGGUUGCUCCACGACCACGAGUGGCACAGGGGCCGACACAGGGCGUGGCACUGGCACAUGGGCAUGGGGUGUGCCCGCGCUUGUGGUUGGAUCCGAAUUGAACCACCGAUCGGUUGAUUGAUCGAUGCCAACAACGUAGUAGCUGGCCUUCAGGGUCGGGCGGGCAGGUCGGCAGACCGGACGUCGGCCGAGCUUUGAUGCGCUUCGUUCCAAUGCUGGACUCUGUCCGCUGGUUUAGCUGUCUGAAUAUCAUCCACUGUGUUGUUGUGCUCAUAGGUGCAACGAGCGAAUAUCAUUUUAUUUUUUGGCCACAGCUCCCACAAAUGUCAUUGCAUGAUGAAAGUUUGCAAACGAUCAAACUAAUUGUCAGUGUUUGUUAAAAAGAGAUGAAAUUGUUUUGAUUUUGUAUGUUGUUGUUCACCCGAGUUUAGAGCACUUCGAUGGUUCCGUACGUAUCUAUAUGAAUAGUGUAAAAUUAGAAGAAAAAAAUUGAUUUUUUGCUGAGUCAAACUUGGUCGCCUGGUCUACUUACAUGUGAAUUUUCGGAAAGAAAUGACACCCAUGGUAUACUCAUAGCUUAUUAUCCCCAAAAAAGGAUUUUAUUUUAAUGUGCUUCUGUUUUUUUUCUUUUUGUCCUAGAGUACUACAUGUGUCAUUUUGUGUGUGUGUGUGUGUGCAAAAUGUUAUUAUUACCGAGUGUUUCACCAACAUGAUAUCGAAAAUGGUUAGCAAAAGCAGAAGUCCUUUUUUACUUCCGAGCUCAAAUGCUUACUUGUAAACAGUAAAAUCAAAAAAAUAGUAAAAUAAUUCAAACAAUUCUUUAAUUUUUAUGAUAAACUUUUACAAAUGUUUUACAUGUGUACCAAAAUUCAGCGCGAAAUAACAUUCGUAGAAGUUGCAGCGAAAAAAGCAAAAUCAAUAGUCCAAAAUGUAUCAAAAACUAGCAUUUCAGCGAUUUUGUUUUUUGUCACGACUUCCACAAAUGUAAUUUCGAGCUGAAAUUUUAUAAGCAUACAAAACAUUUGUCAGAGUUUACCACAAAACGAGUUCAGCAUUUUUAAAAUGUUCUUAAUAUUUUUUAAGAUUUUACUAUUUAUGAGGGGCAUAUGAGCUCGGAAGAAAAACUCCAUAUCCUUAGCAAAAGCCUCUACCCAUUGUGUUCUAACUGUAGACACUAUCGGUACACGGAAGGGUCAUUUGGAUACUGAUAUUGUAGAGAAACAUGACUGUUGGUAUAAUUACCUAAAACUUAUUUGAAUUCUUUAAACUCUGAACAUGUAUAACUGUUUUUAUGAAAAGACCCUGAAAAGACGUGGAUGUCGCAUAGAGGGGGUGAAUAGACGCUUUAAAAUAAUUACGAUUUAGGUUUGAACGAAUGCGGAAUAAAACUAGCGAUUAAUUUAUCAAGCACAAAACCUAUAACAACUAGGCUCACCUAUGUGCACCAACAACUUAUGAUAAGCAAGAUAAACAACUAAGUGAUAGCAAGAUACUCCCUCCGUUCCUAAAUAUAAGUCCUUUUAGAGAUUGUGUUAUAAACUACAUAUGGAUGUAUAUAGACAUAUUUUAGAUUGUACAUUCACUCAUUUUGCUCCGUAUGUAGUCUCCUAGUGAAAUCUCUAAAAGGUCAUAUAUUUUGGAACGGAGGAAGUGUAUGACAAUAAACAAUAUGGCUAUCAUAAAGUAAAUUGCAUAAGUAAAGGGUUUGGGUAAGAGAUAACCGAGGCUUUACACCACAACGAUUGAGCUCCGAGACACCACCAAGCUUNNNNNNNNNNNNNNNNNNNNNNNNNNNNNNNNNNNNNNNNNNNNNNNNNNNNNNNNNNNNNNNNNNNNNNNNNNNNNNNNNNNNNNNNNNNNNNNNNNNNUACACGUACUUUAGAAUGGAUUCACUCAUUUUCUCUAUAUGUAGUCUGUAUUGACAUCUCUCAAAACCUAUAUUUAGCAACAGGGGAAGUAGUAUAUAGGACGCCUUUGAAUUAUAAGAUUUUUAUUCUAUAGUUUUAGUCUUCAAAUAUUGUAUUUAGCUGCUCAGAGAAACUGAAAAUGGGAGAGAGAAAGGAAAAAGGAAACAUAAAAAAAMAUACACACACAGUGCCACAUUGUCGACAUAAUACACAUGGGCGCUUGCUCUUGGGUCUACUAUUUUCCUCUCAAUGUCUUAGAUUACUAGACGAUGUCCCGCGCGUUGUUGCGGGAAAUUUGUUAAAAAUAUAUGGAUGAAUGUUAGAAAACUAAUGUUAAUGCAAAAAAUCAUUAUAAAAAAUGUCUUGCUUAAUUACCUAGAAAAAAAAUUCAUGCAUAAGGGUAUGUUUUGCGAGAAAAGAUUAAUAAAAAAGUAACAUACGACUACAUGCAUGAUUUGAUGAUAUGACAUUGUUAUAUGGAGAGGAAACUUGGGUAGUGGGUUCUAACUAUUUAAGAAUAGAAGAUUCUUCAACUUUCUACUAAAUUUUAGUCAUUAUUCUUUUCACUUCUUUUUCCUUCACAUUUUAUUAAAUGAAAUUUGUGCAUAUAUGUGACUUUUAAAAUAUGCAAUGAAUUGUUUUAUAUCAAAAUCCGUGAAUUGUUUUAGAAAACAAGAUGGCCAUUUAUUAUAUACAUGAAGUUUAUAAAACACAAGGAUACAACUUUAUAUCAAAUUUGUUGUUUAUACAUGAAUAUUUAUAUUAUGAUACCUGAUUUAUUNNNNNNNNNNNNNNNNNNNNNNNNNNNNNNNNNNNNNNNNNNNNNNNNNNNNNNNNNNNNNNNNNNNNNNNNNNNNNNNNNNNNNNNNNNNNNNNNNNNNGUCUGAGAGGAGCCCUAGUACCCGACCAAAGAUUAUGGGUGACCCUUGAUCCCUAGAUUUUGGUCCCAGCCCACUCAUCAUCGUAAACGUCUAGUUCAAUCUCUGACACGCAUUUCUCAUCCAUUUGUUGAUCCGUUGCUGAUGUUGUUCCUGAUGACAACGCGUUAUCGGACCAUUAAAUUCCUCCUUCAUUUCCGCUGCGAAAAGCAGAGGGUGCGCAAUUGUGUAUUCGAACUUCAAAUUUCAUGAAUAUCCAUAUUUUAGUAGUUUAAAAAAUUCUGAAAAAGAAUACAUAGAUAUAUGAAGCUAUAAUACACAAGUGUGUAAAUUUUCAGAACUAAAUACGUGAAAAUGACGGUUAUGAAAAAAAGACAAAUCUGAAGCUUUUUAACACAUGACACUAAUCAUCUUUCUAGACCAUGAAUUUGUUUUUAUUACAGGCCGCGUCUUAAAGUAUUUUGAUCUAAAAUUUUACACACACACACGGAUCAUAUACUUGUUUAGUUGUAAUUAAUUUUCUCAGUAUUUUGGGAACCUAAAAUUUUUAUUUGUAAUUUUUAAAAAAAUUCGGCCUCCAUGGCUUCCGGAAGCCAAACGUCNNNNNNNNNNNNNNNNNNNNNNNNNNNNNNNNNNNNNNNNNNNNNNNNNNNNNNNNNNNNNNNNNNNNNNNNNNNNNNNNNNNNNNNNNNNNNNNNNNNNCGGCAAAACCUCAUCCCAACCGUCCAAAUUCCCAGCCCCAGGAAUACCAUCUACUCUCAUUUUCAUUUUAUUUUUGUAUGACUCACACAUGAGAUCUUCAGUACGAUAAUAAAUGUUCCUUGCUGUACAGCAAAUAUCGUCGACAUUAUUGCACGAUCAGACGGUGACCUGUCACGGGAAAGGACAGCCCCGAAAGAGAUCCCAGCGGAGAGGGAGGACAGCCACCACGUCAUGCCCAGUGCUCGAAUAUAAGUUGAAAAAAAGAGAAGAAAUUUUAUGAACGGUCAAUUUCAACUGCCGUGCAAACUCAUUUUUCAAGUGCCAUUGACAAAAUUAGCCGUCCAGCAACAGCUAGCUUCGGCGAGAAACACCAUCAGAAUUGCUUGUCUGGCUGUCCGWAUUUUUCUCGUUUCUUUUGCAAUUGAGUCCUAAUCUUUCUCAGAAGUUGCUUCAAUCAAUCGGGUCUAUAAUAAUUUAUUUAAGACAGAGAGAGAUUGUGUGUCCAGACUCCACACACCUUGACAUGACAUGUUUCCGUGAGAGUUCCGUGACAAUACGGAUGUGCUCGCNNNNNNNNNNNNNNNNNNNNNNNNNNNNNNNNNNNNNNNNNNNNNNNNNNNNNNNNNNNNNNNNNNNNNNNNNNNNNNNNNNNNNNNNNNNNNNNNNNNNUAAUAGCACCUCGCACUAACGUCACCAAAUGGGUCGGUCCAUUUAGGUGGACUACUGCGUGAAAACUCCUCUCAUUGACGCUGGUGAGUGUGCGCUAGAAGCUCUCGUCAUCCGCAUCAUACAUGUCUUUAGUCGGUUUUCCCUUCUAGUGGUCGCUUGUCAUCCAUGUUGUCUUUUUUUAACACAGUCCGGACACAAGCGCUCAUAUAUACACACAUAUUGUCAAUAUUAUAAAUGCACACACGCAUAUCAUAUUUCUAUGAGCACCUUUAAGAGAUUAAACCGGCAUAUCUUAUUAAUAUUUAUGAAAUCAUCGUAGACGACUUGUCCUUGACGAAAAUAUCUCCUCCUAAUAAAAACGUAUCGUCGAAAAUUCUGAAAUAAAUUCAGAAAUAAUGCGAGCAUUAAGACUUGAAUCCUGAUGAAUUGAAAAUAUCAUUGUCAUUCUAACCAUCCAACCACAGAUUGGUUCGCGUCAUCCACGUUCGCAUCAUACAUGUUGCCGAUGAUGCAUUCCACCAUUUUGCCUUGAUUUCUGCUGCCCAAAGCAGAGCGGGCGCAAUGGUGGAUUCAUUUAGUGUGGCUACCUACGAGCCUUGUUAGCUCAUCUACUGGUCUUCCAGUAGCAAGGAGUACCUAGAGCCAAUUAAGCUACCUUGAAAAGCCGGUCAUCCAGGUAAUUAAGUGCCUACCCAACCUAUCUAACCCCAGCCAAAGCUAGGCAGGAAAGCCUUCAACUCUAGUUCCAAAACCAUAGCUGCAUUGGAACUUAGUACAGCUUCAGCCAAACGUUGCUGCCGGGCAAUUUACACGCAACUUUCCUCGGAAGCUUCCGUUUGCUCUCGGGCGAAAGAAUCCGGUGCCGAUCACGCAAGUGUAUCCGGGCAAAUAAAGCUCCGUGAAGAGAAGCGGAUACCUUGGCGCGCGAUGGCGGAUGCAUCAGAAACAUCGAUGACGAUGCCAUUGCAAAACAGUAAAGGAAACAUCUUUAGUUGAUGGAUGCCAUGUCACGGCAAGUAGGCACGACACCUCGAAGAAAUGAAAUGGUCCUUGGCCAAGGUCGUUCUCGGAUUUCUAUUGCUUUGAAUCUUAUUUCCUUUCUUUGACACUCACUCUUGCUUUCUAGGGCACCCGCCUCCGGACACCUUUAAUUUGUUCCAGGGAUUCGCGGCGUAGGAGUACGUGUUGAUCACUGGCCAACGUGCGCAGGGGUAUUUCUCACGUCUGAAAUUCAGGCUUGUGAACAGCCUAGACUCUAGACCAAAGGCUUGUAAAGACCUAUAUUCUAUGUGCGCCUCGUUCCCAUUCUGCGCGUGUAGGUUUGUUUAUGUCUCUGACCCUGACCUGAUCAUACAUAGUACACAGAACGCAUCCACACAUGUUCCAUAUGUAAUUGGCACUUGUCGACAAGGACAUGGUGUAGAAAAAUCAUUCCGACCGCUUGCAUCUCAAUCAUCGUUUUUGCCAAGUCAGACCGUUCUUAUCGCCCAGUUCAUGCCUUGUAAUCUUAUACAUUUAUAUGACCUUCCUUCUCUCCGUGUAUCAGUACUAUGUGAUACUGCUGCUUUGCUGAUGCUUGAAGAUAAACCAAGUCUUUAUGUCACUUGUAGUUGCAAGCGAGGUAGCUUUGAUUGGCUGCGAUGGAGGAAAAGCUAGCGCGGUGUUGACAGGGUCGACAGGGCAUGGUUUUCAUGUCCGAAAUUCAGAGGAGGAGAAAGAAAGAGGCGGGACGUCGGUGCGGCGCAGCCAGGACGGACACUGCCGAUCCGUGCGAGUAGUUCAUGGCUGUGGCUGGACACAUGACGCCUUCGUUCUUUCCUCUGCUUUCUUCCUUUACUUUUCACUUUGUCAUGACUGUUUUUCAUUUACAUGAGUAUAUCUAGUUAUCUACUACUCCUAUCUUAUCGGUUUGACUUGUGCUCCUUUGACACGGGGAAAAAAGCGAGCAGAGGUGAUUGAAAUAUGGAAUACGAUGGCCGGUUUGUGUCUUUCUGAUUGUGCAGUCACUGUACAAAUCACUCUGAUUGAGAGUAGCAUGUGUCGUUCCUUGGCUUUCAGAGAAUCGUGGCCACACUUGGGCUGCUUUCCAUUAACGCGCAGUGCAUUAUUCGUGGGCGCGAGGCCACACCAAAGCCCAUGUUACAGGAUUCGGGUCCAUGAGAUCCUUGGCGAGUCAGACAUGACCUCACUGCGCCAGAUUACCGUUCAAACGCACAGCAGAGAGGCAGGCGAGCGAAGGGUAACGGGGUAAGCUCAUUAUAGCAGGUUCAUAAACCAGUUUUUAUUCUGUUAUUUUUUUACUGGUUUACUGUGAAGCCAGACAUAUCUCGCCUCUCAUAUGACGCUGAUGGUACGACCAAAUAAUGUAGCUGCCUAUGCGUAUUUUUUUUUUCACUAUUGCAUCGGUUCUCUUUGGGACUUUUCUUCUGGGUUUUUUCCUUUGUUUCUUUCUUCUGUUUUAUUUGUGUUUAUAUUAUUUUAUUUAACAUUUUUUGCAACACAUGUCUACUUUGUCAAUACACACUCUACAAUUUUUGUAUACAUAAGGAACUUCUAUUACAAAUUAAUAUAUUUUUUAAUUCAUGAUUAACAAAAUUUUACAGAUAUAUAUGUAUUGAUGUCUAAUUUUUAAUAUACAUUGCACAUUUUUUGUAUACACUCAAAAAACCCAUUUAAGAUUUUUCAAAUACUAGAUUAACAUUUAUUUCAAACACAUGUUUUUUAUUAUUUUCGAAGAAGAGUUAAAAAAACUCAAGUACAUGGUGAAAUGUUUUAUUAAAAAUGAUAAAACAUAUAUUUUUUUGGACAUGCAACAGUUUUUUAGAUUGUAUACACAUUUUGAAAAAUGUCCCAAACAUAAUUUUGAAACACGUGAACAAUUGAAAUUAUAUUGUAUAUUUUUUUCAAAUGGUACAAAAUAUUUGUUUCAAUACCUAAGUGGUUUUACAUUUUAUAAAAUACUUCAAAAAUAUAACAUGCAUUUGUUAAACACGUGAAAAUUUACCAAUGUCACCAAAGUUUUGCAGAAUUAUCACAUGCAUUUUUUGAAAUGCUUGCACAUUUUUAACGUCACGAACACUUUUUAAAUGCUAUCAACAUUUUUGAUUCACACGAACAAAAAUUCCACACUAUGUUAAGACUUUUUAAAUAAGUGUCUUAAGCUUAGUACAACUUUAUACUAUAGCUAGUACAAAGUUGAGACAUUUAUUUUGGAACAAAGGGAGUAAUUCACAAAGCCUUAACAAAAUAUUAAGUUCACUAUGUUUGCAGAACAUAAUCUUUUAUAUGUUUUCGAAAUAUAUAUAAAUAGAAAAAUGAACAAAGUUGUUGUAUGUGUAGUUGCUUGAUUGUGGAACUGUCCAUUUUAGGGCGUCUUUGAGGCGAGACGUGCUUGUGUCUUGCUGCGGACAAGACACUCUGUCAUGGUGAUUCAGACCCCUUCUUUUACACGGUAUAUGUGCAAACGCUCAGGCAUUUGCAUUAAUACCAAAAAAAAAUUAUGAUCCAUAAUGUGAGUGACAUGUGUCGUUCCUCGGUGAAAUCUGAAAUCGUGCAUGAUGUGCACAAAAAUAAUACGGAUGGUGUGCUUUUCAAAGUUAACGCUAAAAACAUAUUAUAAAACGAUCUGGGUUUUCUUAUAUAAAAUUAUGAAAUUGAAAGGUCAAUCUGAUCAUAUAAUACACUAUUUUGAAUUAAAUAUGGCUUGCAUUAGGAAAAGAAAACAUCUACUAAAGAACAUCAUCUUUGCGUACGUGUGAGCUUGAGUGAAGCCCGACCAAUAUACGUGAUCAUGGAAAACUAGACCCGGCUAGCCCGGCCCGAAAUUUUCAGGCCUGGAUUUGCCUGCACGCCACGUCCGGGCUAGAGAAUCAGGCCUGAAGAUCGGGCAGGGCCGGGCUCGGGCCUGUAGGAACCAGCUUUUAUGCCUAUGUCAGACCGGGUUUGAGAAUCAAGCCCCAAGGUCGGGCCGGGUCUGGCUCGGGCAUGUAGGAACCAGCUUUUAUGCCUAUGUCGGACCUGGUUUGAGAAUCAAGCCCGAAGGUCGGGUCGAGCCGGGCUUGGGCCAGGACCCAACUUUUACGCCUAUGUCGGGUCGGGUUUGAGAAUCAAGCCCGAAGGUCGGACGGGCCGGGCUCGAGCCCGUGGGAACCAACUUUUAUGCCUAUGUCGGACCUGGCCUACGUGGACGGGCCGAGCUUCUACGGGUUGGGAUGGUGCUUGGGCCCACAAACUAGGCCCAACGGUUGGACCGGUCCGGGCCUGACUUUUGUACCGUCGGCUUUUUUAAGCCUCACCCGAGUUUUUUUUGAAUGUUGACACUAGAAGUGGCAAAUACAUUGAUGAGAAGGAGUUUCAAGAGCCCUUCGAGGCGGUAAGCACUACAAAAGGCAGCGCAAAAAAGAAAAGAAAGAAAAAAGACCCGCCUCGAGCACCACAAACACACACUCUACCUUCAAUCGAGGACACCAUGAGAACCCAUCAUCGGGAUCUCCAAGGUGACGCUUCCAAAGAGGGAAACGAUGUUGAAGACACCGUCUGUCACGCCCAACAUGCAACCCUAUCCUCAAUUUGGCACUAGGGCCUCGUCAGGGAUAGAAGCGCAUCUCGUCGUGUCGCAAGAAUGGAUAUCGGCGCAAGUACAUGUACUGAACAGAAGAGAUAUACAUAGAGUUGGCUUACACUCGACACAAGCUACAUCAGAAUCACCACAGUACAUUACAUAAACAUCAAGAGUAAGAGCAGGGUCCGACUACUGACGAAAACAAACGAGAAAAAGAAAGAACGACGUCCAUCCUUGCUAUCCCAGGCUCCCGGCCUUGAACCCAUCCUAGAUCGAUGAAGAAGAAGAAGAAGCAACUCCAAAUGAACAAUCAACGCGCUCGCGUCAAGUAACCUUUACCUGUACCUGCAACUGGUGUUGUAGUAAUCUGUGAGCCACAGGGGACUCAGCAAUCUCAUUUCCAAAGGUAUCAAGACUAGCAAAGCUUAAUGGGUAAGGCAUGGUUAAGUGGUGAGGUUGCAGCAGCCGCUAAGCAUAUAUUUGGUGGCUAAACUUACGAGUACAAGAAAACUAAGAGGGGGAAGAUCUACGCUUAGCGGACGUGAACUACGGAUGAUCAAAUGAAUGAUCCUGAACACCUACCCACGUCAGACAUGACCCCACCGUGUCCUCGAUCGGAGGAAGAACUCACGAAAGAGACAGUCACGGUUACGCACACAGUUGGCAUAUUUUAAUUAAAUUAACUUCAAGUCAUCUAGAACCAGUGUUAAACAAAGUUUCCACGUUGCCACAUUACCGCGGGCAGGGCUUUCCGAAAGAUUUAACCCUGCAGGGGUGCUCCAACUAGUCCAUGAUAAAUUACCACAAGCCGCAUAGAAAUCCUCAAUCACGAAGCUCGCGAUCUCGUCGGAUUCCCUAGUGGAAAACCUCAACUCUGAGAUUACCCAAAGCAUCACCGGAAUUCCGAUGCACAAGAUAUCUCGUCAAAGGUAAAACUAAUCCAGCAAGGCCGCCCGACGUUUCGACGUACCCGAUAGGAGCCGCGUAUCUCGUUCUCAGGACACGACGGAUGGAACUAGCUACGAGUGCCAAACCUCGAGUUUCCUCGCGGUGGCCCCGCAGGCAGACCGUUUGGGACCAACACCAUCAGCACUGGCCCCCCUUUUUAUGUAAAAUUACUCCUCGGGUAGCGCUAACUCCCUAUGCCAUUCAUUAUUAUCAAAAUUAUUAUGUUGGGCAAAUGUAAAACCAAUGUUGGGCCUUGCCAGACCAGCUUUAAUCUAAAACGAAUUAUCAAGGGGGUUCCCAUAACAACCCCGAUCGUGUUAGGAGCGCUCAAUUAUGGAACAUAACACCGGUAGCCGAAAACUAAGGGGGCAAAGGUGGAACAAAACACCAGGCUAGAAAGGCCGAGCCUUCCACCUUUUACCAAGUAUAUAGGUGCAUUAAAUUAAAUAGCAUCUAAUAUGGUGAUAUAACAAGGAACCCAUGCUUUCACAUGGAAGCAUCUGCACCUGCAACUAGCAACGCUAACAACAUGGAUAAGCAAGCGGUAACAUAGCCAAUCAGUGGUUUGCUAGGUCGAACAGGUUGAAGGUUAUCAUGGCAUUGUUGAGAGGCUGGUAUUUAACAUGUGGUAGGCAACGAGACAUAAUCGAUAGAUGCGAUAAAACUAGCAUGGCAAUGAUAGUAAUGGUAUCUGGGGAAAUGAUCAUCUUGCCUGAGAUCCCGCUUGGAAGAAGAAUGCCUCCGUGAAGCAGACGAACUGACGUAGUCGAACGGGUCCUCACAAUCCGGCACGUUGCGGAACUCUAUCGAGACGAAGCAAACCGGAAACACAAAUCAACACACGGAAUUCACCACACGAUGCACAACACAAAUGAUGCAUGAGCAGCUGAAUACAUGCAAGUCACGGCAUGACAAUUUCAGACAAUCAAAACUACACAUUAAGUGAAGUUCAAUAUGCGACGAUUUGCAUAUUGACGAAACUUCACAUAUGAAUUAUUUAGUUCACUCCCGGUUAUUUACACGGUAAUAUUAAUGUUGUCAAACAUGCGAGAGGUGAAGCGGAAAUUAAACUACCUACCUAGACAUUUUAAAUGAGGUCGGAAACGACAUAUAGCAUCUCCGGGACGACCUCACAUGUUAAUUUACAAUUCUGUCCAGAUCUGAAUUAACACAUUUAAUUAGUUGUUAAACAGCAAAACAAAUAGGUUCACGCGAUUCUACGCGUCAUUUCAAGCAAUUUACACAUAAAGAACAUCUCCAACGGAGCUACGGUUCAACAACUACGAGCAAAACAAGAAAUCACUACAAUAUGCCAAAAUCAGCCACAUAGCAUUUUCUCCGCGCCACAACUACGGGCUGCACAACUCCGUUAAACUCAUACAAGGCAUGGCACGGAAGAGGGCAAUAAGCACUACUACAAACAACUCACAACAACUAGAAUGGCAUCAUGGAUCACUAGGGAAAGAAGACACAAAAAUGGCUUCCCACACACUAUUUCAGACUUAGUGAAAAUAACACUUCAUGAAAUGCAGUUUUCGAUCUGAAGCAAUAUUGACAGCAGCAAAACCUGUAGCUACGGGACUCCAAAUGGCAUGAACAUCUACAGAAUGCUUGAGAAACACAAGGGGUACAACUAACUCCAUUGGACCAACCUCAAAAGAGCUACAGAUCAACAGUUAGAAGCAAGACAAGACAGCAACAAAAUAUAACAGAUUCCAGACUUACAAAUAUUUCAGCUCCUCUAAAACAGCACUAUUUCUAGCAACUUGAGAGCAAGCAAAACACACCUAAACAUGCAUUUCUAUUGCAACUAAAAAAUACCAGGGGCUAGUCUAAACAUCCAAGAACAACUCCCUAGUUGACAACCCCGUCAAACGAAGAACGGAUUAAAUCCUACGAAUUAAACAAAAGGGCAACAUAGCAAAAUAUCUCGCGAACUAACCUUCUCUAAUGCUAAAACUAAUUGCAUAGAAAAAUCCAUGGGAUUUUCCUACCCAGAAAACAUAUAAAAUAUGUGGGGUUGCACAACAAAAUAAUGGCACACGAAAAUGCGGGAAAGAUAACCUAUAUACGGGAAAAUAAACUACCGGCAAUCCAUACAUGCAAAAAUACCUAUGACCGCUCUAAAAUAAAUAGAAAAAUGAUCCCUAAAACAUGGACAUUUAAUCUACGGUAUACGGGCAGUCCGGACACGCGUGAAAAAUAAUCACGAGCACUAAUCUAAUGGGACAACAUGUUACUCUAGGCAAACAGUGGGUCAAACCUCAUCAAGCAUUUAUGCAAGUUGCAAAAACGAAUACUACGCGAAAUUCUACACCAAAUCGAUAUAAAGAUCACCUCGAUCCGACUUACGGAAUAUAACAUACGUACGUUUAAAAAUAUGGCAUUUUUCUGGAAACGGAAUAAAUCGCAAGAAAAAUAAAUAAAUACCUAAAGCCUAAAUGGGCCGAAAGCGCAGGCGCAUGAAAGCUAAAAGAUGCCCAGGGCGUUGGAUAGGGCACGGGUUAACUCACCUAGGGCCAUCGGGCCAUGAGAGGAGGCAGGCCGGUGCUGGGCGACUGGGCCGAGGCGCCGCGAGGCGGUGGGAGGCCUGCGGGGCAACUGGGCCAACUGGGCCGAGGCGACAGCCGGCUGGGCCACAUCGGCGCUGGCGCGGCAGGCCCAGGUGGCGGGGCGAGCGGGGCCGGCUGCCUCGGCAGCGCCACCUCGAACCGUCCUGUGCUCGAGCCUCAGCCAUGGUGGCCGGCUCGGCGAGCAGGAGGUGAGGCCGGGGCGAGGAUCCAGCAGGGGGGCCGGGGAUCGUGGGACCCGGCGAGAUCUGGCACGGCGGCGGUCGGCUCGCCGAAUCCGGUCGAUCUCAAGGCGUUGCGGGGCUCCGGCAGCGAACACGGGCACCAGCGAGAGGCGGCGCUUCGAGAGGACGGUGGGGCUGCGGGAGCCGGCGAACGGCGGCGCGGUGCUGCCGGCGGCGGGCACGGGGAAGCUCGGGGCGCGGGAGGAUGCUUCGGUGGGGCUCCAGCUGUGGGAGUUUGGCAAGAGCAGGGCCGGGGGCGAGCUCGAGGCUGCCAUGGAGGCGCUCGGGAGGAGGAGGCUCAGGCAGGGAGAAUGGGGCGGCGGCCGGAUGGGCUUCGGGUGGGCCGCGUGCGGGCUCGGGCGGGCCCGGCGGCUGGGGGGACGAGAGAGAGGUGGGAGGCUAGGGUUUGGUGGGGGCUGCACGGAAAACGAGGAGGAGAUAGUGGUAGGCUGCCUUAAAAAUAGGAGGGGUAUAUAUAGACAAACGGGGGGGCUAGGUUAGCCGGAAUUUCGUUUCGGAUCCAAUCGUGCGGUCGGAUUCGGACGAUUCUGAACACAGGUAUGGGUACGCGGCCGUGUAGAGGGGAUAUCCGGAGAUGAGACGGGAAAUGGGCGGCGCGGCAACGAUUUUUAAAACACCGACAAACGUCCGACGGUAGACCAAAGACGGUGCCGCUACGGACGACCGUUCGGGUACCAGACGAACUCCGAUCGCGCCGAAAUUCGACAGGCGGUUUCACUAAAACAAAUUACGACCACAUGCCAAGUUUCAUCUCGAUCGGAGAAACUUUAACGCACACUUUUAAAACAGGGUUUCGACGAUGCCGCGGGCGCGCGCGUGUGCGGUCGGGCUUAGAACGGACAACGACGCGAACCGGCAACUAACAACGGAUGCAACUUUUUGAAAAAUGGCGGCAACGGGAUGCCGAUGCAAUGCUGAUGAUGCGCAUGAUGCGAUGAUGAUGCAACAAAUUAAAAUAACCACACGACGAAAACGGAAUAGAAGGGGAAUCUUCUGGAACGUCGGCAUCGGGCUGUCACAACUCUGCUACACUACAAGAGGAUCUCGCCCCGAGAUCCAAGACUGAAAGGGGGAGAGGAUGAGAAAGAACAUGAGGUAAAACUUAGUCGCUUCUUUGACAAACGAGUGAAACCAAUGAUCCUUGAAGGUUGCAAAGAGAUGAGUAGUGACAUGGGAAAGAAGCAAGAAUUCACGGAAAAUUUCAGCAGCACUUCAGUAGGAAAAUGGGACAAAAAAAUCGAUACGAAGAGAGAAUUAGACAAUAUUCACAACAAACAAGUAAAUAGAGCACGGGAACACCAUGAUCUUGAUAGAACAACAUGAUUGACCCAAAAGAGCACAACACAAUGCCUCCACAACAAGAGAAUAAGAACUAACUCAUACGGAAGAAGAGAAUGAAGAAAAGAAUGACAACUACUAUCUCCAAUGAACUUGACAAGCACCCUUGCAAGGAGAAUUGAACGAAGUUGUUGGAAACAACAACGACAAGAACAAGAUAGUAGUGGGCUUAUGGAGACCUUUCAAACUAAUGAAGUGAGAACCAGCCAUUAAGAGAAACAAGGAUUGUUUGGGAGAAGCAAGAUAUGAACAAUUCUUACACCAAGAGGAUGCAUUGAGAACUUAGAUUAAAUACAAGCACCAUGAUAGCAACAAUCCAUAGGAAAAGCUUUAGGUGAAAUCCAAACCAAAAUAGCUCAAUGAAGAAAUCAUGGGUAGAAAAUAUCUCAUGAUCAAAGAAUUAGUGGAUUUAAUUAUCUCAUUCUUGAAAGGAAAUAUCUUCGAGGCUCCUACACUAACAAGAAUGCUAUAAUACCACCUCAAAGGAUAACGGAAGAACAAUUGCACAUAUAAAUGCAAGAAAAAUGAUACUUGAGGUUCUCCAACAAGAGUCUUGAAGAACAUUUGAGAAUGGAUUGAAACCUUGAUGAACCACCAAGAAGGACCUCCGUAUGAAUGAUGCAACGAUAAGAAGGUAGAAACGAAUAAGAUUAUGACCUUGCCAAAAUUUAGAUGAAGCUUCACAAAGAGAUACUAAAAGAACUUAGAACUCCGGAAAAGAAAGAUAAGCACGUGAGAAAAGAAUUGAAACUAUGAGCCACUCCGGAAGAAGAAAUCAGAUUACUAUGAUCAAGAAUAAGAGUUAUGUUAUGCUUAUCCUUCAUCAAGUUUAAUAGAUGACAAGCAGCGGAUUUAGCAUACAACUUAUUCUUCUUGAAAUGAAUCUUGAAGAGGCAGAGAGAUAAGCACCACUUGAGGCAUAAUUGAAGGAAGCACUGGUAAGAAUUCACACUUGAAUGGGAAAAAGCAAGAAUUAAUGGAGAUACAUGAGAAUGAAGAGAUCAUGACCCACCUGAAAGAAAACUUGAACAAGGCACCGGAUAAUCGAGAGACGGAUGAAGAGACAACAAAUGAGAAGAAUUGAGGAUGAAAGCUGAAAGUUGAGAACGAAGAAUCUUCUAAAAUGAUGGCCUUCGGAGGAACGAGAAUAAAAACAACUCAGAAAUGCACCGGAUAGCCAGAAACAGAUUCUCAUGAUUGGAAACAAAUUCAAGAUGAUAACACGAAGCUGAAAUGAUGAAUCUCCAAGAGAAUGGACCAAGAUUCAAGAGAAACACUCCGUCGGAUAGCAAGCUGAGAAUGAUCGAGAACAACACCAAGAAUUACUAAGACCUCCGGAAUAAUGAAGAAUGCAAGGUUGAGCCAAAUAUGAGAAUUAAUUCGAAUAGGUCUUGGAGAAGGUAUAUAACUGAUGAAAUUCAUACUUACGUCAUAGUUGAAAAGAAUUAAACAUCUCCGGAAGAUUACAAGAGCUAUAACAGAUCCUGGGAAAAACCUGUGGGUUAUGGGCCCACUCAAAGAAACCACCGUUGAAAAGGUUGCUAGAACGAGAGAUAUUGCAUCGGUACAAGAAAACUAGAUGAGGUUAGCACCUCGAAAUAACUAAAGAAUUGAGAACAAGAAUUCUGAGAUAACUUCAACGCUCCGGAUAGAAUAGAGAGAAAUGACAACAAGAAGAUAGACUGAUAAAAAAUUUCCAACAUAGGAAAGAAUUACAAGGAUGAAAAGGAUAUGAUGACACGGACAACUAAAUUAAAUUCACUGGAAAAAGAUAACCAGGUUGAAGGAAUGAUGAACUAAAACUCCUGAAAAUCUACACAAUGAAUCGCCGGGUAAGAGAGAAAAGAACAAACAGCGGUAGCACAAUGAAAAGAAAACUCGUGGAUGCAAAUUGAAUCAUUGAAGAAAAGGGUGGGAGGGCGGGGAAAAACAAAGACAACUUGGGACGGAUGAGACAAACUUCGAAAACAAAUGAGAGAUUGAUCUUGCAAAAUUGGAGAGGAUUGAAUUCACUUGAGGAGAAGCACACCGGUUGAAAAAGAAUUGACAUAACAACUCCGGUUGACAAAAGUUGAUAAGACAAUUGGUUGAGCAAAAGGAUUAGCACUCUCAUAUGAAUAUGAGAACACCGCUUAGAAAAGAUUUGAAAUCACCACUUGACCUCGAAGCAACUUAAAUUACCAUAUUCCAACAAAACGAAGGGUGAGGCUUAAGAAACAAGCCAGAACAAACUCAUGAGAAAGAUUUCGUCCGAUAUUUUCGUGGACAGGAUCGCACGGGCUCGAUUUUACAGUAGCCAUCAAGUGCAAGGCAGUGCACCCGACAUACGAAGCGUCCCCGAGUCGUAGCAAGCUACAAGGACUCUUUAAGACACAAUGUGUACCACUGUAAGUCGAACGUGAACAAACGAAUCCACUAGAUGUCGAACCCCAACCUAACAUCAUGUAUUUGUUGGAAGAUUGUCCUAUAAGCAACUACUUGAAUUCCCACCUAUGAAUUCCCGAAAUAUCUGGUCAUGCAAUCUGGUACACGGAUACAAGGAGUAAUAUCACGCAACUCCUAUACUAACCCGUCACCUGUAUCACAUCCGUCAACACAUGACCAGAAUAUCGGACCUUCAUCUACAACAGACCCUCGUGAUCACAACGAUACAAAGUAUGGCAGUACUCCCGAACAAUCUCCACGAGUACUGGGGACAUCGGGGUUAUCUCGCCACUACUAGUAUUGAAGCAAUUACGAACAUCCUUCGUUCUUAGAUACUAAGAAAUUUGAAUGAUAACGAUGUGCUCAAGAAUCCCCUGGAGCUCAACUCCCCUGAGACUUAGAGCAGAUAGGAGGCACCAAGACAGAACUCCGUCACAUCGGCAUCAUAUAGAUUCCAAGAAUAUUCGCGUGAUCCUAAAAAACAUUUGAGUGAGAAGAGGAGUAGAAUUAAAUUAUUACGUCAAGAUUCCUCACCAGAGCAUAGAAGAGGAGAAAAAAGAAUCCUACUCUCCGAAAUAUAACUAGACUCAAAUAGUUUUUCACUAGACUCGACUCGGCCAAGUUCGAUCAAUCAAGGGGGCUCCUAGGUCGGUACUGCUCUGAUACAAACUUGUCACGCCCAAGAUGCGACCCUAUCCUCAAUUUGGCACUAGGGCCUCGUCAGGGAUAGAAGCGCAUCUCGUCGUGUCGCAAGAAUGGAUAUCGGCGCAAGUACAUGUACUGAACAGAAGAGAUAUAUAUAUAGAGUUGGCUUACACUCGCCACAAGCUACAUCAGAGUCACCACAAUACAUUACAUAAACAUCAAGAGUAAGAGCAGGGUCCGACUAUGGACGAAAACAAACGAGAAAAAGAAAGAACGACGUCCAUCCUUGCUAUCCCAGGCUGCCGGCCUGGAACCCAUCCUAGAUCGAUGAAGAAGAAGAAGAAGCAACUCCAAAUGAACAAUCAACGCGCUCGCGUCAAGUAACCUUUACCUGUACCUGCAACUGGUGUUGUAGUAAUCUGUGAGCCACAGGGGACUCAGCAAUCUCAUUUCCAAAGGUAUCAAGACUAGCAAAGCUUAAUGGGUAAGGCAUGGUUAAGUGGUGAGGUUGCAGCAGCCGCUAAGCAUAUAUUUGGUGGCUAAACUUACGAGUACAAGAAAACUAAGAGGGGGAAGAUCUACGCUUAGCGGACGUGAACUACGGAUGAUCAAAUGAAUGAUCCUGAACACCUACCCACGUCAGACAUGACCCCACCGUGCCCUCGAUCGGAGGAAGAACUCACGAAAGAGACCGUCACGGUUACGCACACAGUUGGCAUAUUUUAAUUAAAUUAACUUCAAGUUAUCUAGAACCAGUGUUAAACAAAGUUUCCACGUUGCCACAUAACCGCGGGCACGGCUUUCCGAAAGAUUUAACCCUGUAGGGGUGCUCCAACUAGUCCAUCACAAAUUACCACAAGCCGCAUAGAAAUCCUCAAUCACGAAGGUCGCGAUCUCGUCGGAUUCCCUAGUGGAAAACCUCAACUCUGAGAUUACCCAAAGCAUCACCGGAAUUCCGAUGCACAAGAUAUCUCGUCAAAGGUAAAACUAAUCCAGCAAGGCCGCCCGACGUGUCGACGUACCCGAUAGGAGCCGCGUAUCUCGUUCUCAGGACACGACGGAUGGAACUAGAUACGAGUGCCAAACCUCGAGUUUCCUCGCGGUGGCCCCGCAGGCAGACCGUUUGGGACCAACACCAUGAGCACUGGCCCCCCUGUUUAUGUAAAAUUUCUCCUCGGGUAGCGCUAACUCCCUAUGCAAUUCAGUAUUAUCAAAAUUAUUAUGGUGGGCAAAUGUAAAACCAAUGUUGCGCCUUGCUAGACCAGCUUUAAUCUAAAACGAAUUAUCAAGGGGGUCCCCAUAACAGUCCGGACACGCGUGAAAAAUAAUCACGGGCACUAAUCUAAUGGGACAGCAUGUUACUCUAGGAAAACAGUGGGUCAAACCUCAUCCAGCAUUUAUGCAAGUUGCAAAAACGAAUAUUACGCGAAAUUCUACACGAAAUCCAUAUAAAGAUCACCUCGAUCCGACUUACGGAAUAUAAGAUACGUACGUUUGAAAAUAUGGCAUUUUUCUGGAAACGGAAUAAAUCACAGGAAAAAUAAAUAAAUACCUAAAGCCUAAAUGGGCCGAAAGCGCAGGCGCAUGAAAGCUAAAAGAUGCCCAGGGCGUUGGAUAGGGCACGGGCUAACUCACCUUGGGCCAUCGGGCCAGGAGAGGAGAAAGGCCGGUGCUGGGUGACUAGGCCGAGGCGCCGUGAGGCGGUGGGAGGCCUGCGGGGCAACUGGGCCAACUGGGCCGAGGCGACAGCCGGCUGGGCCACAUCGGCGCUGGCUCAGCAGGCCCAGGUGGCGGGGCGAGCGGGGCCGGCUGGUUCGGCAGCGCCUCCUCGAACCGUCCCGUGCUCGAGCCUCAGCCAUGGCGGCCGGCUCGGCGAGCAGGAGGUGAGGCCGGGGCGAGGAUCCAGCAGGGGCGGCCGGGGAUCGCGGGACCCGGCGAGAUCUGGCACGCCGGCGGUCGGCUCGCCGGAUCCGGUCGAUCUCAAGGCGUUGCGGGGCUCCGGCAGCGAACACGGGCACUAGCGAGAGGCGGCGCUUCGGGAGGACAGUGGGGCUGCGGGAGCCGGCGAACUGCGGCGCGGUGCUGCCGGCGGCGGGCACGGGGAAGCUCGGGGCGCGGGAGGAUGCUUCGGUGGGGUUCCGGCUGUGGGAGUUUGGCAAGAGCAGGGCCGGGAGCGAGCUCGAGGCUGCCAUGGAGGCGCUCGAGAGGAGGACGCUCGGGCAGGGAGAAUGGGGCGGCGGCCGGAUGGGCUUCGGGCGGGCCGCGCGCGGGCUCGGGCUGGCCCGGCGGCUAGGGGGAGGAGAGAGAGUUGGGAGGCUAGGGUUUGGUGGGGGCUGCGCGGAAAACGAGGAGGAGAGAGUGGUAGGCUGCCUUAAAAAUAGGAGGGGUAUAUAUAGACAAACGGGGGGGCUAGGUUAGCCGGAAUUUCGUUCAGGAUCCAACCGUGCGGUCGGAUUCGGAUGAUUCCGCACACAGGUAUGGGUACGCGGCCGUGUAUAGGGGAUAUCCGGAGAUGAGAGGGGAAAUGGGCGGCGCGGCAACGAUUUUUAAAACACCGACAGACGUCCGACGGUAGACCGAAGACGGUGCCGCUACGGACGACCGUUCGGGUACCAGACGAACUCCGAUCGCGACGAAAUUCGACAUGCGGUUUCACUAAAACAAAUUACGACCGCAUGCCAAGUUUCAUCUCGAUCAGAGAAACUUUAACGCACACUUUUAAAACAGGGUUUCGACGAUGCCGCAAGCGCGCGCGUGUGCGGUCGGGCUCAGAACGGACAACGACGCGAACCGGCAACUAACAAUGGAUGCAAGUUUUUGAAAAAUGGCGGCAACGGGAUGCCGAUGCAAUGCUGAUGAUGCGCAUGAUGCGCAUGAUGAUGCAACAAAUUAAAAUAACCACACAACAAAAACGGAAUAGAAGGGGAAUCUUCUGGAACGUCGGCAUCGGGCUGUCACACAGUCAUCACUCGAUCUGGCACUUCCUAAACUUAGGUUUUCACCCGGAAAUCUCACGCUAUUUGGUAGGAAGGACGAACGACACCAUAACGAUACCUCCAAGAAGGAAGACGACACCCCAGGGUGCCAUUACCGCCGGCAACAACCGAGACGAUGCAUGAUUUUCAUCCGGAGUCGGACCUUCCACUAACAAUCCCGGGAUCCGAGGCCACCAACGCCAAGUAGCAGCACAAGCCCAAGCAAACACUACCAGCAACGAAAUGGUCGAAGCCGCAAGCAAAAAACUCGGCGAGCAAGUGCCAACCUAACUGGUCCGCACCGCCGCUCGUAGGCCUUGGGCGAGCCAAGCCGGAUCUGGCCAACUUCGACCUCCGUGUGCAGAACUGGACGAUCCUCCGCACCGCAGCGCACACGAAAGGUCGAAGGAGCGCCAUACAUAGUCGUUCUGCGCCGCCGCGUGCAAGACUAGGUAGGACCCAAGCCAAACUACGCAGCCCGCGCCCCUGCGCGUAGGAAAAGGACCAUUCAUGUUGGAUCUGGUCUAUCCGAGACUCAUGUAGCACCCGACAAACAGGACGAUGCCACAACUCGAGGAGCCGGACGUGGACGCGCUCGAAGGAGGCCACCACUCCCCAACACCACCGCUACAGCCACCACAAGCGAAAGGCAGUCGAACCAACCACGCAACGCAGCCAUGAUUCAAUGCAUCUAAAGCAAUCUCUCGCAAGGCACUCCAUCCACAAUCUCGCACACGCCAGAUCUGCCCCGGCUAACUGCAGUUCCCUACAUACCCACGGCACGCGAACAAGCAAUAGUCGCGCGGAUGCCAGCCUAAGCAAGUCGCAACGCGCCCACAUGCGCGCUGCACCCUGCCAAGCGCCAUGGCGCUAGCAUGGCGCACCAUCCACGCCCGCCGGCACCGGCUCGCCAUGCCCACCACGCACCACGACGUCGUGCCCGAUGCAUCCACCGACACCGGCUCGUCGCGCCCCCCAUACCUCUUCUCGGGCGGGCAGCCUCGUGCUACCCACUCCUCUCCAGAAGGGAAAAAAACAAAGAGCCCUGUCGUCGUCACCGCCGCACGGGCUUUUCCUGGCAGCGCUUGCCCGUGGGGGCGAGGCGAGAAGGAUAACAGGGAGGUCGAGGUUCCUAGCGGCUAGGGUUUUGCUAGGGUCGGCCGUGGGUGGACGACAGAGGCGCCCGUUUGGCGGCGUGACCCGAGUUUGGGCUAGGUAUACGAGAGAUCAUGGGUGACUUCCAAUCCCAUGAUGAAAUCAUUAGGGCCCACACCACUCACAUAGUCAAUGAGAGUUUGAUUUAGCUCUCACACUUGGCAUUUACUAGCUCCCUUUCAUUGUUCCUGAACCCAGUUUGAUUUAGCUCUCACACUUGGCAUUUACUAGCUCCCUUUCAUUGUUCCUGAAUCCUGGUUGAGUUAGAGCAUCUCUAACCGUCUUUGUAUAUUUGACUAGAAUUGCUAAAAACUGGAAAUAUAGUAACUUGGCCCCAAAAUCUUGCUCCAACAGCCUUUGUAUAACUGGUUUCCCAUAAAUUGUUUUACAAUGAUUGCUAUAUUUGUAUCAACAUUUGGUAUAUUUGCAAAGUGGAGAGACACUUGCUAUAAUUUUUAGCAGUCCGGUUUUUGUGGUCCCUUAUAUCCCUUUGUUUCAUUGACAAGUGGACCCCAUCACCCCCUGGAUUCUUGUUGUCCCGGUACUGGCACAAGUCCCCGUGUAUCAUUGAGAGGCUUGCUAAAUUUUAUAGCAAUACUGUUGGAGCAAAAAAACUGUUGGGUUGCUAAAUCUUCUCUUUCUCCUCGCUAUUCCUAGUUUUUAACAAGUCACAAUAACAAUGUUGUUGGAGAUGUUUUAUCCGGCAAUUUCUCCUUCAUUUCUGGGUUAGCUACGAGCCUAGAUAAAGUUGACACUUGAAACCUCUUCUUUGCGUCUGAAAUGAUGAGCUUCUCCAACAAGUUGUCCAUCCACCGUGACGCCGCAAAGGAACCAAACUACAUAGAGAAGCGCUCAACUUUAGUUCCAAGAGACUAGAAGCCUACCCACCCACUGUGCAACUUGCAAUUUCUUCUAAAUCGCAACGACGUCGAUGUCGACGUAGAAAUUUAAUCUCUGAACUUGGACACCACCGCGAGAUAAAAUCGAGGCGAGUUAGCAACAGCUUUACGCCCUACCGAACCAGGUGCUGAUCAGGGCUAACUAGCAGCAAUGAACAAGUAGUACUAUGUGAAUGCAAUCAACCAUGCUCGAAAAGCCCCUCUCGACAUUGAUCGCCAACAAUUUAUGACAUUGAUCGCCAACAAUUUAUGUGUAUCAGUUGCAGUUCGCUCUCUCAUGUACUCAGGCACAAACCCUUCCACCACGGCCGUGCAGAAACUAUGGAAAGACAUGAGACAUGUGGGUUCACUCAUACGAACAUACUCACCCACAAGAUCACUAGGAAUUCCAUAUGCAAGCAUACGGAAAGCCGAUGUGCAUUUCUGGUAUGAAGAGAAUCCAAUCUUAUGUAGGGCAUCCUCUUUGCAUUCAAAGUAUGGGUGAUGUGCAAUCACACCCUCGUGAAUAUGAUUGAACACAUGUCUUCUCAUUUGAAAUUGGCGACAAAAUUGAUUUGACCUCAAGAGUACACCGUCCUUAAAGUAAUCGACAUAGAGAAGGGUGUGGCCUUUCUCCCUAUUGUGGUUCAAGGCCGGAGCAUGGCCGGGGAUUAACCACGUGAACCGAGGGUGCUUCCUACUAAUGUGUUCAUGCACGACCAACGCAGCAGCCAGCUCUUCAUCAUCCGAUGAUGAAUCAACCGAUGAGCAAAUGAAGUUGUGAAAGAAAAACUCACCACCACUAUCCAUUGUAACUUGCGAGCUAUCCGUCGAACGCCUUGCGGCCGUGCUGGCCGUAGUAGUUGUUGCACGUCCUGCUCCCCUUGCAGGCGACGACAGCCGGCCGGAGUACAUGAUGCUGGAGGGAGCCAUGCGGCAACGAACAGCCAGUCGGAGGAGGUCUGGAAUGACGAGUGAUGCCGGCUACCGUAUCUAUCUCUCACAUCGGUGCCAAAGAUAUCCUCGGUCAAAUGCUUUAUGGAAAGCCGGUGCAAACAUAACUAUGGCAUGGCGUGGUGCUUCGACAGCCUUUGUGAAAAACGACGCGGCCGGGAAGGGUGGCGGCCGUGGCAAUUCCGAGGGGCGAAGGGAUGUAGAGAAAGAGAAGAUGGGAGAUUGUGUCCCUGAUGGGCGAGCCAGGGCAGAACAAGGGUACGCGUCGCUCGGGCCCGUGCAUGUUCAUUCGGCCGCACACUCGAACCAAACUUGGAUCAAGAAUGGAUUAUAAACGGACACAAAACAAAUGACAGACCGUUUGCACUAGUGGGGACAGGGCCUAUAGUCCCGGCCCGUAAGGGGCUUUAGUCCCGGUUCAACAACCGGGACCAAAGGGGCGGGACUAAAGGCCUAACCUUUAGUUCCGGCCGUGUUCCAAGCCGGGACCAAAGGUGCUCCACGUGGGCGCCUCGGAGCGCCCUCAGGGGCAGGCCCUUUAGUCCCGGGUCUUAACACGGACCGGGACUAAAGAGUUUCAAAUUUUGUUUAUUUUUGGGUUUUAGGGUUUUAGGGUUUAGGUGUUCGGGAGAUUAACGUGAUGCCUCGUUUGGUGUUCGGGAAUUAGUUUUCAUAUAAUUCUAAAUAGAAAUAAUUAUGCAUAUAUAUAUAAGAUUAACUUAUGUUACAAGCGAGCAUAUAUAUACAAUUAUAUGGAGAUCUGAAUUAUCGGGACUAGAGCCCGUCUAUUCGAUUACAUGGACCAACAUGAGUAAUGGCCCCUAGCUACACUAAAUCGUCCUUUGUCAUCCAUAGCUUCCGUCCUCAGAAAGGUCGCAAGCUCCUCUGCAACAGCAAUCACGCGUUGCUCUGGUAGGGACUUAUCCCUCAUGGCCGUGUACUAUAUAAGAAGAGGAGAUGAAUAUGAAUAUCAAUCAUGAUAACAAAGAAUGACGGGUAAAAAUAGAGGUGUGAAUGUUCAUUGCUUACGUCGAAUCUGUGAUCCUUGUGCUCAGAGGUAAACAUGCGAAUGGUCUCGCAAACAUAGUAUCCGCAUAGAUGCGUCCCCCGUGGCUGCUGGUCGCACUUUACGAGAAUAGAAUAUAUAUAAUCAAAAUAAUAAUCUAGCAUCAUAAAUGUAUUGAAAAUAGAAGUAUAUCAUACUACUACUUACCCGAGCCGCUCUAAAGGUCAGCUUCUCAGGCUCGAUACCGGGAGUCACACACUUGAACCGUUUCCAAACCCUGCCCGACAAGGAUAAUGAUUUGCUAAGUUUUUCAUUAAUUGAUAUAUCAGAAAAUCAUCGAAAGAGACCGAUAGAGCGCAAGAAUGAUUGAAAUUACCCUUGGAGCAUGUCCUGUAGGCUUUGGAACUGUUCCAAGGGUCUCAAUAAUGGGUCGAAGGCAUCAACUCUUCCCUUAUCAAUUUGAAUGUCCAACAGAAUCCAAUGGAAGCUGCACAUGUAUAUAUAUAUAUAUGUGUGUGUGUGUGUGUCAGUAACUUAUCAAUUACACUUAUAAGUGAAUGGACACAACAGAGUAAAGACCCUCACCUGAAGUUGUAUGGAAACAGUAUGUGGUCACAGAAAUUUUGAUCUGUUAGAAACCUUAGAAGGUUUUCCUCCGUCUCCUUGGGUUUAUCAGUUAGCGUCGCUAUAUGUAUUUUAUCUGGGUCAAUAAACCCAAUAUUUAGGAUGUUCCUAUUUUUACAAUCCAGAAUCUUCAUUCUGCAUAAUAGAGUACAAGUUAUAUAUAGACAAUGAAUUCAAAUAACUAAACAAGUUAUAUGUAGACAACGAAUUGAAAAACUUACAGACAAUAGCAACUCAUAAGCGAUUUGUCGAGGGCGUCGGCAUUGUACAUCUGGAAGAGUUCAUCAAAGUCGAUAUGGAUUUCUUUGGGGAGGCCAUAGUACUCCCGUGGGACACUCACCACGAUCGUCGUUCUCCCAUUCUUUGAUUCACUUAAGUACCAUGUAUGCAAGUAACGCAUAUUUGUUGGAAGAUCAUCUUUGCUGACCAAAGGCGCUCCCAUGACAAACUGUGGCUUAGGGGCUAGCACAGCCUUGGGUAACCUGUCGUCUUGGGAAGCCAGAAUGUCUUCAACCGGGAUACCCCAUUCAUUCGCCCACUUCGUUGCUAAUUCCAAAUCUUGCCCCUGCACCAGAGGGGGGACAUUCUCGGGUAACACCGUGAGGGGUGGGAUCAACUGUGGCCUGUUGUCCAAGCUGAGGAACGUCUGAUCUUUUUUUUGCUCCCACUUGCACUUGCACGUGAUCUGCUCUUUUUCACUUCCUUCUGCAAUGUGCGUGUAUAGUCAUCAGGCUUAUGGUGUAAGUCAUACUGUGAUGGAAGGGUCGUGAAGUAUUUUGCAUAUGCUAUUUGCUUCUCGGUGUAUUCCGGGCGGGGCUUGGGUUCCUUCUUUUUCAUCUGCGCAUCAUGAUGUUCCUUUGCUAUCCUGGCGUUUUCCUCGGGGGUACGAUCAUAAGGUCUGAUAGGAAGAUUAGCAUGAGGUACCUUUGGGAGGGGCGACAGUUUGCGCUUUGGGGGGCUCCGUCACUUAGAAAUCAUCGGCGGAGCGUUCUUGGUGGCACGCUUCCGCUUAGUAUCCGGAGCGGGCGGCGGCGGAGACGGACGACCCAAGUCCGGCGGCGGUGAUCGAGAUGGACUCGUGUUGUGCUGGCCGACGUCAUGUGGAGGGCUUGGAGGUAAUGGAGGUGUAGGUGACCUGCGACGACUCGGAGGCGGUGUUGUCCUUGGGGCCGAGCCUGGAAGCUUGAUGUAGUUCUUGUCCCAUAGGAUGACUCCACCCAGUACUUCUCCGAGUGUCCUCUCAUCUUCGGGUCCAGCUAUGUCGAGCUCCAUAUCAUGAAACCCCGCCAUGAUUUCAUCCACCCCGACUUUAGCAAAGCCAGCUGGAAUCUCACGGUCAUGCGAGCGUGCAUCAGGGCCAGAAGGUAAAGCUUGUCCGACGGCCACCUUCAUGGAUAUGUUCUUGAAUUUCUGAUGGAGUUCACAUGAUGUUGACUCCUUGAUUCCAUCCACGGGGUAGCCGGGACCGCCCUCUAUCAUUCUUCGUGCAUCGUCGGGCGGGGCCUCAGAUUCAGCCACGCUGCUUUUCCACUUAGAUGGGGCGUCGGUAAUAUCAAGUGCAGGAUCUUCCUGGCGCGCUACUCCUCUAAGCUCAUCAAUCUGCUUCUGUUGCUCGUUAAUCCUGGCGAGAAACUGGUUGAACUUGUCAUUCUCCUCAUCCUGCUGCCGCUUCUUUGCUCUCGCUCGGCUUGUGUAAGUGUCUUGGUCUUUGGCAAACCUAAGCCACCACGGGUAAGAAGGACCGAAGCCUCGUGUUCGUCCUCCAUGUUCGUCAUUGCCGAGGACCAGUGUGAGAAAAUCUUUCUCUCUAUCUGCAGUGAACUUUCUUUUUCCCUCCUUAAUUUCUUUCACUAUCUUUUUCCAAUUCUCCCUGGGUAUCCUAAGACCGUCACUGCAGAUGAGGUCCCCUGUUUCUUCGUCGUACGAACCACCAUGCGCAAGGAACCAAUUUCUUGCUCUCAAUUCGCACUCAUCACGGAGUGGUUCAGGUAUGAUGCCUUUAGCUAGCAGAUCUUGCUCUUUCUUAUCCCACUUUGGGAUGGCAGUCUCAUAGCCCCCUGGCCUCAGCUUGUGGUGAUAUUUCUUCUUGUCGGCAUUUUUCUUGUUCUUUUCUGAUAAUGCCUGGGCAUCUUAUGACUCCUUGUACUCUUGAAAUGCCUUCCACUGAUUUGCCUGCUUGGCUAGAUACCCCUCGAAUAUUGGCACUUUCUUUUACUUCAGAUAGUUUUUCCAUAGCUUCUUCUUCCAGCUACGGAACAGUUCGGCCAUCUUCUUUAGAGUCCACUGCUUGACUUUGGCCCUCAGUUUGUCUGCGGCGUCUUCAUUCUCACAUUCUGGCAGGUUGAAAUGUGACAUGAGAUCAUUCCAAAGAUUAUCUUUGUACCUUUCGGCGACAUAGUCACUAUCGGCUGCCCCUUUGCGCUUGUUCCACUCCCGAACGCUGAUCGGGACGUGAUCCCUAACGAGAACUCCGCAUUCCUUCUUGAAUGUGUCAGCAGCAUUCUUAGGAAGCUUGGGUUCGCCCGUAGGCAAUAUCACCUCAAAGGUGUAAUGCGUCCGUGCAUCCAACUUUCUAGUCGGGCCUCGUUUCAUAGCUUUGCUCGAUGUGGAGGCCUAAGAGGGAGAAACAUUCGUCAAAUGAAUGUAUAUGUAUACAAUAUACAGCUAUCUCCAAUAUUUUUCACAUAUUACAAGUGAUUGUCGAACUUCGUAUGUAUACCUUGCUGGACUUUAUUAUUUCUCCACCGGCUUCUCCAUCAGUGGAGCUAUCACCUUCUCCGUCAUUGGACCUAUCUCCUGCCUCAUCGGCUUCAUCUUCGUGUCGGUCGACCUCCAUUCCAUAUCCGUAGGGGUUUAGAUAUGACGACGGAGAUUCAACUGGUUCAACGUCGGGGCCGUCUUUGAUUAUAUCUUCGAGAAGUUCUUCCUCUUCGAGGUUCCUGAUAUGUGGAUCCAUAGUUCUGCAAAAAACGGACAUUUGAUUAACUAAUAAACUAAUAAACUAUAUAAGAGGGGUUGGAAACUUCGAAGUGUCGUUUUAUAUAGGAGGACCUUUAGUCCCGGGUCUUGGAUAGAACCUAAACUCUAAAAUAUGUCUAACGGAUUCUCUUAACCUUUAAGGAUUUAACAAAAUGGCGACAUUCUAGAUGUGUAGAAAAUGAUCCUAUUUUUCCUGAUCUCAUCUACCCUUCUAUGUGUCACAUUGUCUAGUGUCAAAGGACUUUGUUGAACUUUGUACCAAAAAAGAAUUAUUCUAUCAGGAACUCCGUUCCAAAACAACUUUAGUCCCGGGUCGUGGCUCCACCCGGGACUCCUAGAUUUCUGCAUAGUAUUCAAAGUAGGAGUACAUUUCCAAUAUGAGCAUUCAAUAAGCAAAACCAAAUCGUAAAAUAAAGUAGUAUUCAAAUUAGCAUGCAUUCAAUUAUAAGCAAAACUACAUCAUCUCUUUUGUCCGUACAUCGUCGAAUAUUAUCACUAAUACUCCUCGAAUACUAUCAUACAUAUAGCAUCAAUGAUACAUCUAGAACCGUAGCGCCCGACGGGUAUCGUCGCGGGCGGUGGACACCCAAAGAGAAGGAACCAUCAUAGGAUCAUAGCUCCAGUGAGAUACCUGAAGAACCUGCCAGGUAUGCUCGAACCUGCCCUCCAACGCAACCAUGUAGCGACGGACGUGCUCAUCCUCCUCGCUGACACGGUGACGUAUCACCUCCGCGGUGUCCGGAAGCCUCGGCACCGUCACUGGCCCACGCGACCGCCACCAAACAAGGAUCGGGUCAACAACGGGCUCGCUCCUCACCAACCUAUGCCCCCCGGAAGGUAGCACCUCCCAAUACCAGCCGGGCGGAGCCCAGUCCCAGACAUGGCCCUCUGAUCAAGCAGGUGUCCUCCGCCGAGUUGACGACGAGGAUGCGGGAUAGGCAUCGUAAAAUGAACUAAAAAUAUAAACUAGUUCUAUUAAUUUUCUUGCUAAAAAUAAACUAUUAACACUUAAGCAUAUACAAUAGAAAAAUUAAACUAUUAUCACUUAAGCAUAUACAAUAGCAAAAUUAAGCAAUAAUCUAAGAAACACUAAUUAAGCAUCUAUAUACGUAGAAAUGUCUUCUUCUUCUUUCUUAUUUUAUUCUCCGCUUCUUCUUCAACUUCUCUUCUUCUACUUCUCCUCUUCUUCUAUUUUUCUUCUUCUUCUCCUCUCCUCCUCUUAUUAUUCUCCUUUUUCUUCUUUUCUUCUCCUCCUCUUCUUAUUUUCCUUUUUCCUAAUCUUAUUUUCUUAUUUUUGUUCAUCUUUCUUCUUCUUGUAACCCUAAACUAAUUCUAAAUAUUACUAACCCUAAUAAUCUAGCACAAACCUAAUAACAAUAGGAAUUAAAUGACAAAAAAAUAUUUUUCUUUUUCUUCUUUUCUUCUCCUUUUUCUUCCUUUCUUCCCUUUUUCUUCCUUUCUUCUCCUUUUUCUUCCUUUCUUCUCCUUUUCUUCCUUUCUUCUCUUUUUCUUCCUUUCUUCCCCUUUUUCUUCUUUUCUUCUCCGUUUCUUCUUUUCUUCCCCUUUUCUUCUUUUCUUCUCCUUUUUCUUCUUUUCUUCUCCUUUUUCUUCUUUUCUUCUACCGGCCGGAGUGUUGGGGAGGAGGGGGCGGGGGGCUUACCGACCGGAGGCGUCGACGACGGCGAGGAGGACGGCAGGCGGCGGCGAGGAGGACGGCGGCGGUGAGGAGGACGACGACGGCGAGGAGGACGGCGGGCAGCCUGACGGCGUCGUCGAGUUUGUCGGUGUGCCGCGCCGGGCAAGAGAACGAGGAAGAAGGAGAGAGCGAAAUGUGAUUUGGGUUGGAAAUUUUCUAACUCCCGCUUAUAUAUGUGGACCUUUAGUCCCGGUUCGGGGCUGGAACCGGGACUAAAGACACCCUUUAGUCCCGGGUGGAGCCACGACCCGGGACUAAAGGCCCUUUUUCGGCAGACCAAAAGGCGGGAAGCAGGGGCCUUUAGUCCCGGGUNNNNNNNNNNNNNNNNNNNNNNNNNNNNNNNNNNNNNNNNNNNNNNNNNNNNNNNNNNNNNNNNNNNNNNNNNNNNNNNNNNNNNNNNNNNNNNNNNNNNNNNNNNNNNNNNNNNNNNNNNNNNNNNNNNNNNNNNNNNAUUUUGUUAUUUUCAAUUGAAAACUAUGUUAAUUAAAAUUCUUUUUGCAUAUUUGAGAAUUUGACAAGAGGACUCGAGUCCCGGGUCGAGGCUCGAGCAUGGACUAAAGCCCCUCCGCUGGCUGCACGAUAAGUUUAGUCCCACCUCGCCCAGCGAGGGGGACUAACACUAGUUUAUAAGCCCAGUCGCAGCAUCUCCAUCGAGCUCCUCUCUAAAGCAGGUUUACGGGCCUAAACUCAGUGUAAAUUUGAAAAUUGAAACUAGAUUCAAAAUUAUGGAGAAAAUUCAACCUGAAUUCAAAGUGAGGCCACUUUGAAUUUCGGUUGAAUUUUCUCUAUAAAUUCUCAUAUAGUUUCAACUUUUUUCUAUUUUCAAAAUUAAUUAUUUUGACUAUCCAAACAAUUAACUAUUUUGUUACUUUCAAUUAAAAACUAUGUUUAUCAAAAAUUCUUUUUGGAUAUUUGAGAAUUUGAUAAAACUAUGAAAAUGAAAAGUGUUUGAAAUUGAAUAAAUAGUUCAAAAAUAUUUUCUAUUUUCAAAAUUAAUUAUUUUGAUUAUCCAAACUACUAACUAUUUUGUUAUUUUCAAUUAAAAACUAUGUUUAUUAAAAUUCUUUUUGCAUAUUUGAGAAUUUGACAAAACUAUGAAAAUGAAAAGUGUUUGAAAUUNNNNNNNNNNNNNNNNNNNNNNNNNNNNNNNNNNNNNNNNNNNNNNNNNNNNNNNNNNNNNNNNNNNNNNNNNNNNNNNNNNNNNNNNNNNNNNNNNNNNNNNNNNNNNNNNNNNNNNNNNNNNNNNNNNNNNNNNNNNNNNNNNNNNNNNNNNNNNNNNNNNNNNUUUUGACUAUCCAAACUAUUAACUAUUUUGUUAUUUUCAAUUAAAAACUAUGUUUAUUAAAAUUCUUUUUGCAUAUUUGAGAAUUUGACAAAACUGUGAUAAUGAAAAGUGUUUGAAAUUGAAUAAAUAAUUCAAAACUAUUUUCUAUUUUCAAAACUAAUUAUUUUGACUAUCCAAACUAUUAACUAUUUUGUUAUUUUCAAUUAAAAACUAUGUUUAUUAAAAUUAUUUUUGCAUAUUUGAGAAUUUGACAAAAUUAUGAUAAUGAAAAGUGUUUGAAAUUGAACAAAUAAUUCAAAACUAUUUUCUAUUUUCAAAAGUAAUUAUUUUGACUAUCCAAACUAUUAACUAUUUUGUCAUUUUCAAUUAAAAACUUUUUUUUGAGCUAGUUGACCCUAAAAUUGAAAAGCACUACAAAUGAACUCUAAAAAUGUUGAAAGUUGGCAUGNNNNNNNNNNNNNNNNNNNNNNNNNNNNNNNNNNNNNNNNNNNNNNNNNNNNNNNNNNNNNNNNNNNNNNNNNNNNNNNNNNNNNNNNNNNNNNNNNNNNNNNNNNNNNNNNNNNNNNNNNNNNNNNNNNNNNNNNNNNNNNNNNNNNNNNNNNNNNNNNNNNNNNNNNNNNNNNNNNNNNNNNNUGUUAAAAAGUUGAGAGGUUUACGACAAAAACUGGAUGCACUUCGUGUACAAAACGGACAAUCUCUCUCGAAGUAUUAGGGUUUCGAACGAGAACUCAUCUCAUACAAAGGGAUUUCAUUGUUUUGAACUUAUUUGAACUCCAUACUUUUUGUGUGUUCAAAAUGCACCAUUCAAAGNNNNNNNNNNNNNNNNNNNNNNNNNNNNNNNNNNNNNNNNNNNNNNNNNNNNNNNNNNNNNNNNNNNNNNNNNNNNNNNNNNNNNNNNNNNNNNNNNNNNNNNNNNNNNNNNNNNNNNNNNNNNNNNNNNNNNNNNNNNNNNNNNNNNNNNNNNNNNNNNNNNNNNNNNNUUCAACAAUUUCUGACUUCAUUUGGUAUUCUUCGUGCAUUUUUUUUUGAGCUAGUUGACCCUGAAAUUGAAAAGCACUACAAAUGAACUCUGAAAAUGUUGAAAGUUGGCAUGCUAUCAUCAUUUCACCCACAUAGAAUGUGUUAAAAAGUUGAGGGGGCUACGACAAAAACUGGAUGCAUUUCGUGUACAAAACAGAUAAUCUCUCUCGAAGUAUCACGGUUUCGAACGAGAACUCAUCUCUUACAAAGGGAUUUCAUUUUUUUGAACUUAUUUGAACUCAAUACUUUUUGUGUGUUAAAAAUGCACCAUUCAAAGGCACAUCAAAAAAUUUCAACAAUUUCUGACUUCAUUUGGUAUUCUUCGUGCAUUUUUUUUGAGCUAGUUGACCCUGAAAUUGAACAGCACUACAAAUGAACUCUGAAAAUGUUGAAAGUUGGCAUGNNNNNNNNNNNNNNNNNNNNNNNNNNNNNNNNNNNNNNNNNNNNNNNNNNNNNNNNNNNNNNNNNNNNNNNNNNNNNNNNNNNNNNNNNNNNNNNNNNNNNNNNNNNNNNNNNNNNNNNNNNNNNNNNNNNNNNNNNNNNNNNNNNNNNNNNNNNNNNNNNNNNNNNNNNNNNNNNNNNNNNNNNNNNNAAGUUGAGAGGGCUACGAAAAAAGCUGGAUGCACUUCGUGUACAAAACGGACAAUCUCUCUCGAAGUAUCAGGGUUUCGAACAAGAACUCAUCUCUUACAAAGGGAUUUCAUUUUUUUUGAACUUAUUUGAACUCCAUACUUUUUGUGUGUUCAUGCACCAUUCAAAGGCANNNNNNNNNNNNNNNNNNNNNNNNNNNNNNNNNNNNNNNNNNNNNNNNNNNNNNNNNNNNNNNNNNNNNNNNNNNNNNNNNNNNNNNNNNNNNNNNNNNNNNNNNNNNNNNNNNNNNNNNNNNNNNNNNNNNNNNNNNNNNNNNNNNNNNNNNNNNNNNNNNNNNNNNNNNNNNNNNNNNNNNNNNNNNNNNNNNNNNNNNNNNNNNNNNNNNNNNNNNNNNNNNNNNNNNNNNNNNNNNNNNNNNNNNNNNNNNNNNNNNNNNNNNNNNNNNNNNNNNNNNNNNNNNNNNNNNNNNNNNNNNNNNNNNNNNNNNNNNNNNNNNNNNNNNNNNNNNNNNNNNNNNNNUGGAUGCACUUCGUGUACGAAACGGACAAUCUCUCUCGAAGUAUCAGCGUUUCGAACGAGAACUCAUCUCUUACAAAGGGAUUUCAUUUUUUUGAACUUAUUUGAACUCCAUACUUUUUGUGUGUUCAAAAUGCACCAUUCAAAGGCACGUCACAAAAUUUCAACAAUUUUUGACUUCAUUUGGUAUUCUUCGUGCAUUUACUUAUUUUUUUUGAGCUAGUUGACCCUAAAAUUGGAAAGCACUACAAAUGAACUCUGAAAAUGUUGAAAGUUGGCAUGCUAUCAUCAUUUGACCCACAUAGCAUGUGUUAAAAAGUUGAGAGGGCUACGACAAAAACUGGAUGCACUUCGUGGAUAAAACGGACAAUCUCUCUCGAAGUAUGAGGGUUUCGAACGAGAACNNNNNNNNNNNNNNNNNNNNNNNNNNNNNNNNNNNNNNNNNNNNNNNNNNNNNNNNNNNNNNNNNNNNNNNNNNNNNNNNNNNNNNNNNNNNNNNNNNNNNNNNNNNNNNNNNNNNNNNNNNNNNNNNNNNNNNNNNNNNNNNNNNNNNNNNNNNNNNNNNNNNNNNNNNNNNNNNNNNNNNNNNNNNNNNNNNNNNNNNNNNNNNNNNNNNNNNNNNNNNNNNNNNNNNNNNNNNNNNNNNNNNNNNNNNNNNNNNNNNNNNNNNNNNNNNNNNNNNNNNNNNNNNUUUUUUUGAGCUAUUUGACCCUAAAAUUGAAAAGCACUACAAAUGAACUCUAAAAAUGUUGAAAGUUGGCAUGUUAUCAUCAUUUCACCCACAUAACAUGUGUUAAAAAGUUGAGAGGGCUACGACAAAAACUAGAUGCACUUCGUGUACAAAACGGACAAUCUCUCUCGAAGUAUGAGCGUUUCGAACGAGAACUCAUCUCUUACAAAGGUUUAUUAAAAUUCUUUUUGCAUAUUUGAGAAUUUGACAAAACUAUGAAAAUGAAAAGUGUUUGAAAUUUAGUACAUUCCGUACAUGCAUUACAUAAAAGGUUUAAUACAUUAUUACAUUAUUGCAUCAAUAUUCCUAUCUAUUAUUUAUGUUUUCUUGUGGGUCGUAGCCAUGGAGGAUCUUCAUCAUUCAGUAGGAUGCUUAUUAUAAUCUUCUGACAUGUCUGUCUUGUCAUCUACUCCCACGAUGUUUCUUUUCCCUGAAAGAACUAUGUGGCGUUUUGGCUCAUCGGACGAUAUCUUCUUUUGCUGAUUUCUUUUUCUCGUUUUUGUAGACAUGUCCUUCACAUAGAAAACCUGAGCGACAUCAUUGGCUAGGACAAAUGGUUCGUCCAUGUACGCAAGAUUGUUGAGAUCCACUAUUGUCAGGCCGUACUUUUGGUCUACAACCACCCCGCCUCCUGUCAGCUUCACCCAUUUGCACCGAAACAAAAGGAUCUUAAAAGUAGGUCCAUAGUCAAGUUCCCAUAUCUCCUCUAUGUACCCGUAAUAUGUUUCCAAACAGUGCCCAUUCUCGUCUGUUGCAUCAAAGCGGACACCACUAUUUUGGUUGGUGCUCUUUUUAUCUUGGGCAACCGUGUAAAAUGUAUUCCCAUUUAUCUCAUACCCUUGGAAAGUACAUAUAGUCGAAGAUGGUGGCCUGGCCAAACAAUACAGCUGAUCUCCAACGGUGUCGUCAUUCAUCAGAUGUGUCUGCAACCAACUGCCGAAAGUCUUCUCGUGUUCCCCUUUAAUCCAAGAGUCAGCCUUCCCCGGGUUUUCGGAGCGUAGAAUAUUCUUGUGUCUCACGAUAUACGGAGCCACCACGGUGCAAUUGUGUAGAACUGUGUAGUGUGCUUGAGAGAAAGAAUGCCCGUCCAUACAUACUUUUGCUUUCCUUCCUAGUGUGCCUUUUCCUGUCAGCCUACCCUCGUACCGAGAUUCAGGAACACCAAUUGGCUUAAGGUCAGGAAGAAAGUCCACACAAAAUUCAAUGACCUCCUCUGUUCCAUAGCCCUUGGAGAUGCUUCCUUCUGGCCUAGCACGGUUACGAACAUAUUUCUUUAAGACUCCCAUGAACCUCACGAAGGGGAACAUAUUGUGUAGAAACAAAGGACCGAGAAUUCUAAUCUCUUCGACUAGGUGAACUAGGAGGUGUGUCAUUAUAUUGAAGAAGGAUGGCGGGAACAACAACUCAAAGCUGACGAGACAUUGGACCACAUCAAUCUGUAACCCUGGUAGACUUUCUCGAUCGAUUACCUUCUGAGAAAUUGCAUUGAGGAAUGCACAUACCUUCACAAUUGCCAGGCGAACAUUUUCCGGUAGAAUUCCCCUCAAUGCAACCGGAAGCAAUUGCGUCAUAAGCACGUGGCAGUCAUGAGACUUUAGGUUUUGGAAUUUUUUGUCUUUCAUAUUUACGAUUCCCUUUAUAUUCGACGAGAAGCCAGUCGGGACCUUGAUACUGAAAAGGACUUCAAAGAAGAUUUCCUUCUCCUCCUUAGUAAGAGCGUAGCUGGCACGCCCUUGAAACUGCCCUGGAUGCAUGCCAUCUCUUCUUUUAUGACGUUCCUGGUCCUCCCGUGCUUCCGGUGUAUCUUUUGACUUCCCAUACAAGCCCAGGAAGCCUAAAAUAUUCACGCAGAGAUUCUUCGUCAGGUGCAUCACGUCGAUUGCCGAGCGGACCUCAUGGACUUUCCAGUAGGGUAGCCUCCAAAAUAUAGAUCUCUUCUUCCACAUGGGUACGCGCUUAUCAAGGCCGUUAGGAACAGGUUGGCUGCCAGGACCCUUUCCAAAGAUUACUUUUAAAUCUUUGACCAUAUCAAAUACUUCAGCACCAGUACGGAUGACAGGCUUCCCCCGGGGUUCUGCCUUGCCAUUGAAAUGCUUGCCUUUUUUUUCUUUAAGGGAUGCUUGGGCAGAAGAAAACAACGAUUGUACGGGUACACAUUAUUCCUACAUUUGUCCAGAUAUAUACUUUCUGUCUGAUCCAAAUAGUGCGUGCAUGCAUUGUAUCCCUUGUUUGACUGUCCUGAAAUGUUACUAAGAGCAGGCCAAUCAUUGAUGGUUACGAAAAGCAACGCUCGAAGGUCAAAUUCCUCUUGUUUGUGAAGAGACGUUUCAACCGUGGUAUUAUAGGAGCAUACCACAUCACCUUGGCAGAAACCCUCUUCCUGGGUGGCUCGCCCUCAAUAUCACCAGGAUCAUCUUUUUUGAUCUUAUACCGCAAUGCAGUGCAUACCGGGCAUUUAUCCAUAUUCUCGUACUUCUCACUGCGGUAGAGGAUGCAGUCAUUAGGGCAUGCAUGUAUCUUCUGCACGUCUAAUCCUAGAGGGCAGACAAGCUUCUUUGCUUCAUACGUGCUGGCAGGCAAUUCGUUCUUUCUUGGAAGCAUCUUCUUCAUCAGUACCAGCAACUUUUCGAAUGACGUGUCAGCCACACCGGUCUCUGCCUUCCACUUCAGCAAUUCCAGUGUGCUACCCAGCUUCUUGUGGCCAUCUUCACAAGUUGGGUACAACAAUUUGUUGUGGUCCUGUAACAUCUGUUCGAACUGCAACCUCUCCUUUUCUGUGUCGCAACCUCGCCGUGCAUCAGAAAUGACUCGACCAAGAUCAUCCGCGGGCUCAUCUGGAUCCCGUUCUUCAUCCUGAUCUUCUUCUUCAUUGUCUUCCAUUGCGGUAUCAUCAUACUCAGGGAACAUAGAUCGGUAGUUGUCAUCAUCGUUCUCUUCUUCUUCAUCAUCGUCUUCCAUCAUAACCCCUCUUUCUCCGUGCUUGGUCCAAACAUUAUAGCCCGACAUAAAACCGAACCGAAGCAGGUGGCUCUGAAUGACUCUUGAGGAAGUGUAAUCCUUCUCAUUCCGACAUUCAACACAUGGACAAAACAUAAAGCCACCACCAUGCUUGUUCGCAUCGGCUGCAUCUCGAAAAGAAUGCACGCCUUCUCUGUAAGCGGCUGUGCGUCGAUCACCGUACAUCCAUGGAUGGCUCAUCUGCGUUAUACGACAGUAUAUCAAAUAAAAUCACGAUCCUAAAAAUUAGUACCGCACGGUCUAAACGAGGAAAUAUAGUUGCUAACCUUUUAGAAUAAGUAGAAAUAAAGAGGAAGAGGUUUAAGCGUGGCUCAGGCAUCUCAUAUCGUAGUUGUGUUCGGUGAACUAAAGCGGCAUCGCUCUAACACACAUUUCAACAAACACCUCUAGUGCAUAAAAAAAAUGGAGAGCUAGCACACACCCACACUCUUCCAUCCAAGAAAAAUGCAAGGAAGAGGGGAGAGGGGGGCUGUGCUAUAUAUAGGCAGAGGACUUUAGUCCUGGUUUGAGACACAAACCGGGACUAAAGGUGGCGCACAUGCGGGUUGCACACCGCGUAGCCCUUUAGUCCCGGUUUGGGACACAAACCGGGACUAAAGGCUCCUUACGGGUCGGGACCAAAGCCUCGUGGAAGGCAUUGCGAUUUGGCGCGACGUGGCCGGGCCUUUAGUCCCGGCCCAGAGGCAAGCCGGGACUAAAGGGUCCAGGCCAAAGGCCCGUUUUCCACUAGUGGUUGCGCUAAUUCAUAACUACUGGCUAGUGAUGGAUCUAUCUUUUAAAAAAAAUUAUCAAUAGUUUUGAAAUGUCGAGCACUUUUUAAAUUUUAUGAAAAAAUGAACUUUUUUGGAGUCUCAAAUUUAAUGGAAGAACCGGAACAAAAUUGAAACGCGGGCAAUUUUUUGUACAAAAGGAAGAAACUAAUAAACGGAAACAUCUUUGAAAUUGUGCACAACUAGCAAAGGUGGCCCUCGCAAAUGCGAGGGCAUAGUCUAUGUAUAGUAAAAAAAAUUGAAACGCGGUCCCUUAAGUACCGAUCUCAUUAAAAAAGGUCGAAGAGGGUUGUCCGGUUAAUAAUCGAAAAACCGGGCUAAAACCGUCACAAUGCGCCCGCCACGACAGGCCAAUUGGAGACGCGCGUUGAAAGGUCUGUUUUAUCUGUUUAUCUUCGGGACGAAGAAAAUAGGAUCACGCGUUGGAGUUAAUAUGGACUCUAAAUGUAAAAAAGAAAGUACACGACGUGGUGCCCCGCGCCAUAUGAGAUGACCACGAAGGCCCUGUUUGGAUGCUAGGGUUAGAGUUAGAGUUGGUUAGAUUGAACUCAUCUAACCCUCAAAAUCCAAACAGGUGGGUUGGAGUUGGUUAGAUGUAUCUAACCCAUCCAAAAAAUCUAACCCACCCAAGAGGUGCUUUUUUGGGUGAGAGUUAGGUGGGGACUAGAAAAAGUUACUUUUCUCUCUCCCUCCACCACACAAAAUUCUAGAUAAAAGAGUCAAAUGAUUGGAAAAAGUGCAUUUAUUGACAAACUAAUCCUUCCAUCCAAACACCUCUUAGGUUAGAGUUAGUUCAGGAUUAGUCUAGAGUUAGAGUCUAACUCUAACCUCUAAGAGCAAGUAUAAUAUGAUGAUGUAGGCGGGCUGCAAGACUUAAAAUAAUAUAUUUGUGAUGAGUUGGAAGAGAGAGAAGAGGAGAAAAAAGAGAAGCGGGGUACAAACUAAGAGCAAGUUUAAUAAGGUCUAGUCAGCACGCUAUAGCAGAUGCCAUGUCACUAAAAUCCUAGAUGGAACAAAGAAAAAGGUGGAGAGAGAGGACAACGGGCGCUACAUGUGCAGCCCGACUAUAGCAGCGCAAACUAGGGAAAAGUUUGCAUGCAGCAUGCGCGAGCUCCUCCCUCCCAAUCACACCUCCCCUUUCACAUGCAUGCAUUAGAUGCUAUAGUUAAUUAGUAGUUAAUCUACAGUCAAUUUAUUAUGAGUGAACUUUUUUAAAGGCUAUAGAUGACAUGUCAUCUCUUUGUAGCCGGCAGUCGACUACAUUAUUAACCAAGCUCUAACAGCCGGCUGUAACACGUACUCUUAGGCACUCUGUGAGAACGAAUGGUGGGUCUUCUAUUAAUAAAGUAUUACUUAUUUACAUCUACCUAUUGUAUUUGCGGGCUAUAAGGUUGACUAUAGAUAACGUGUUCACAUUAUAUAGUCGGCAGCUGGCUGUACUAUUAACCAUGCUCUAACCGAGUUACGUUGGUCGUAAUGGGAGUAUCAUUAGUACUAUGCAUGCCAACUAGGCAUAUUUGAUAAUGUGGCAUAAAAUUAAAUGAGGAAAGAGAGGGUUAAGUAUCAUACUAUUAUGAUACUGUAUCACAUUAAAUGUUAUGAUACCAUGUGUCAUGCAUGACAAUAAAUAAACUGUUCCAUGAUACUAUGCAUGAUAUUGGUAUUAUAUGAUACUCUCUAUUACAACCAGUCUUAGAACAUCUCUAGUGAAUCCUGUAUAUGGAUGUGUAUAGUAAAUAUACAAGAUCUGGGUAGUUUUUUACUGUCCAACGACUCCCAGCGACUCGUGUAAACGGGCGUGGAAACAACCACGACGAAGCCACGACGGUACGAGGCGUGGAAACAACCACGACGAAGCCACGCUCGUUAGCUCGGCUGCUUCGUCCCGCGGCCCCUACCUCGCCCCAGAUCGCCGUCGCGUUCUUCUCCAGCCACCGCUCAAGGUAACUAUUCCUCCCUGACCGAGCUCACGAGCGGGAGGGCGGGGACGAGGGGCCGCAUGCCCUGCAGCCAGAUCUGGCGACGGGAGGGGCAGGGCGGCGACCUGGGCAGAGGAGGGGCCGACCGCCUGGGCAGAGGAGGGGGCGGCCGCCUGGGCAGAGGAGGGAGAGGCGGCAUGGGCAGAGGAGGGAGAGGCGGCGGCCUGGGCAGAGAAGGGAGAGGCAGCGACGGGAGGGAGAGGGAGAGGCAGCGACGGGGGGGGGGNNNNNNNNNNNNNNNNNNNNNNNNNNNNNNNNNNNNNNNNNNNNNNNNNNNNNNNNNNNNNNNNNNNNNNNNNNNNNNNNNNNNNNNNNNNNNNNNNNNNNNNNNNNNNNNNNNNNNNNNNNGGGGGGGGGGGGAGAGGGAGAGGCAGCCACGGGAGUGAAACUUCUGAACUUUAAGAUUGCUGUCAGUUUUACAUGCUUUUUUUUAUCUAUUGCUAUCAAUUUGAUUCAGAUUGCGAUGUAAAAUAGCUGCCAAUUGAACUAUUAUUGUUAAUUUGAAGUCAGAUGGAUGAUGACCAAUUUACUGCUUUCUGCUAGUUGUUGUAAGAACUAAGAUAAAAUAACGGCCUAGAGUAAUGUGAGCUAUAUGUUGUUGUUGUAAGAACAAUUUACUGCUUUCUGCUAGUUGUUGUAAGAACAAUUUACUCCUUUCUGGUAGUUGAAGACAUGGAUUACAUCACUCAUUUUUAUUGAUAGCCGUUUAAAAAUAUAGCCGUUGAAAUAUACACGUUCUAAUUUACACGUUACAUUAAAAAAUUAAGACGUGUAUAUGAAAAUAUACACGUUUAAAUUUACACCAUCGAGGGCCGAAGAAAUUUCCUACCCUAACCUUCACAUCACCUCCUCCGAGUUAUCGGCGGGCGUGCAGGCAGACAAGAGAAACGUAGAUCCCCGCGCCACCCACUCAAUCCCGCAGACCGGCCGUCGGUACCACCUUUCCCGGCGUCCGAGGCGCUGAUCCCGCCCACGAUACGCCCGGCCGACCGACGUCGACGAACCGAGGCGGCCGACCAUGCCCGCGCCACGUCCGUACGUACCGCCAUGACCCGGAAUCCGCAGGUCGUUCUCUCUCGUCACGGGUCCCCGGAUCGAACGUGCCCGCGUCCGUGCGUCCCUCCCUCGCCUUCCAAUGAAUCCGCUGGUCGUCUGCGCCGUAGAUCGAGCAUCAGAGCUGCAUGCACGUUGAUCGGCACGAUGAAGCCGGCCCCGUUCGAGGCUGCGUCGACGCGGCCUCCACUUGCAAAACGCGGCGCCAGGGCGAAGGGAGCCACUGUGGCGGUGGCGCCAAAGCGCAUCCUCUUUUCCCUCCAUCUUUUUCGUUCUUGAAGCCACGAUCGUGGGUAAUAUGUUCGGCCUUCCGGAUCCGAGGAAGCAGCAAUGGCAGCAGCACAGAUGAGACGAGACGAGAUACAGAAGCAAGGGCAUGAUGUCAAUCCAUCAAACGCGGACACCGGACAGGCCCGUCAAAUCGGUCCGGCAAAGAAAGCGCACGGACUGGCUUACCGGGCAUACGUACCACGUCGCAUGCAUGUCAGUCCACCACCCCAUGCCAUGUCUGGCUCGCGAACCGAGGCCGGAAAAAGCAGACGGUGCCCCUGUCGGCGACGAGCCUUCAAAGCCCUUGUGCAGAGAUAAUAAUAAAGCGCCUCUCGUUUGCAGCGUGCAGUACGGGUCUGGUGCAGUGUUUUUUAUCAAGACGGUGCAGCACGCUGCAGUUUUGACCACAGCUCUUGCCGUCCGGCAGGAGUAGGGUUUUUCACAGUGCUCUGUAGCCUGCAGUUUUGACCACAGCUCUGUCGUCUCGAUCAGACGUGCCGACGGUGCGCGGCGCAGGCCUCUGCCCAGCCAGGAUCCGAACCUAUCGGUGCUCUCUACUGUAGCAGUAGCAGUACCACCACACUCCACGUUCCGCCGAUCGCGGCGCACGGACGGACGUGCCCACUAGCCGGCAUGGUCUGGCAUGGCAUGGCAGGGCAGAGCAAGCUGGACGACCCGUCGACAUCAACCAGGGUUACCAGGCGAUGCCGAUGGCGCCAACCCCAAAACCAAAGUACCCAACCCAUGUGGACACCAGACGGACCGAGCCAUCCCAUCCUGCCGACGGGGUGCCGCCGUUGGCACGCACGGAAGACACGACACGACACGAGGUGCCGUGCCGAUCCUCUGAAACAGUGGUCCGCCGCACCAGCCGAAACUUUGGCGGGCACGCCAUGCACCCCCAACUGGGCCUUGUCGCCGCCCGAGCCUGUCCACGCCGGACAGUUGCGCGCCAGCCACCACGCCGUGCGACACGACGAAACCAAAUCCCUCCGUCGCCGUCUUGGGGGCCGUCCGUGGUCCUCCCGGUCGCCGUCGGCGCGCCGUGGACCACCACCACCACCACCAUCCCAUUCUCGCGCUGGUUGCCGUCGGUAUGCACAUAACCAACAGGCUGUUUCCUUUUCUGACGCCGACGGCUCCGCGCAAGAGGACGAGGACGACGACAUCGACAUGGCCGGCCUUUACCACAGCUUCGUGGUCCGGCACGGGCGUGCCUCGCCGUGUGUGGCCUCCGGUGGGCGUACGUGGUGCGUACGUGCCUGCCGACACCGAGAUCCCGCGCGAAAAUGAAUACGUCUACCACUGCCGUCCACGUCGUGGUCCGGCGCAGACGUCGCGUCCAGGACACUGACCGCAUUAACUCUCCGGAAAACGAAGCCCCGUUUCUCCUGCACGUACGGGCUCAUCAAAGAGCUUGAUGUGAUGUGAUGCGAUCCAUGCCGCCGGCGCCGGAGCGUGGAUGGUCGCAAUCCCCGUGGAGCAGUACAUGUCUGUUCACGGUCACCACGGCUCUAACGUGCACGGCAGCGGCAGUACCGCAAUUAUCAAUGGGCUUGUCCGUGCAUUGCAUGCAUGCACCGCCCGCCCGGCCGCAGGCGUGCCGCACCGCACGACGGGCGCUUCGCUGCCGACCGAGAUCGUUAUCAUCAAUCGCCGCCGCGGGCGACGAAAAGUGGCGCGAUCUGCGCCGAAACUACGACCGGCAAAUGAUAAGGGUCGUUGCCAGACAGCUCAUCCCGGAACCCAACAAAAUGAGUAGAUCGGUCAGCCUUUAAACACCGAACCGCGGCAGUCUGGUUUUUCAGUUGUAACAAUAAUGGCCGAGGUCGGCAUCAGCUGGCACCUACUAAUUGUACUCGUAGUAGUAAUAGCAGAGGAGGUAAAGGCAAAGUGCAGCGAGAGAUCCGGCGCUGAUGGCGACGUGGCGUGCGCGCCGGCGGCGACCCACCACACACAACACGAGCACGACGGCGCGGCGUGGUGGCAGCGAAGCGAAGCACGGGUCGACCGAAUCAUUGGCAGCCGACACCGACCGGUCACCCAGCCAGUUCGCCAGCGCACGGCAGGGCACGACACGUCGCUCUCCCGGCAUGUCGGCGCGGCUCAACGUGCGUCCUGCCGUGCCCCCUCCCGUGCCCCGGGGAGUAGAGGACAGGCGGGGCUCACACAAAAAAAAGGUUGCUGUUUGUUUAAGCAAGAAAAAAGGGGAGGGGGAGGGGACGGGGCGAUCUGCUUCGGUUCCGGCGAAGAUAUUGCUGCGGUGUAGUACGGCGGUGGCGAUCGGGAGCAGCUGACUUUUCGGUGGGUGUGCGUAUCGUGUGCCUGCCCGAAUCGCUACUGCGACGACAUGGCGUGUGUUCGGAGGAGCGGAACAGCGGUAGCACAGCGACGAGUCAAUCGGCGAGGGAUCCUAUGUAGCUAUCGAGUUGAUUGUGGCAUGUAGGGACGUUGGGGGAGGUGGGCGACGGAGAUUCGCUUGCUUGCUCGCUCUGUACGUGCGGGCGCACAUGGCACGUCCGUCGGCCGUGCACCGCGGCUACAGCCUACGUAGACCUGUGGAUAGGGCUGAAGUCUGAAACAAACCCUGUGUUUGUACGUACAGUCGCAAAUGACUCUCCACCUCUAAAUCCGUGAAAUCCAUGCCCUGAACUCUCUAAUCCCUAAUUUUUAAUCCUUGUGUGCCUAUCCAAACGCCGGGAUUCCUACAUGGCUCGGGAAAGGCUGGGAACAGGCUGAUUCAACAAGUGCAGGUGGGGUCUCAGACCAUUACCUGGUCAAGCCGGACCAGCUCGCGGGCCCCCUCUUCUACUCCGCCUCUUCCUCUUCCUCUGCCCCGGUGCGCCUCUGUUCCUCUUCCUCUGCGGCAACGACGAUGACAAGCUGAUGAUCGCGGCGACCGUCGGCAACAACUCCGGCACCAAAUAGAAAGGUACGCCUGGUCUAUCCCCCUCUCCAAUCGCAGGUGUUUUCUUCGUUUCAAACUUGGUUAGGUUUAAGUUUUUAAUGGUGAAGGUGCAGUUAUUGUAGUUCGAAAUCAGUGUAUUUGUUGGUGAUUUUUGUUGUCCAGUAUAGUAAUCAGUUAUGAUGCUCGCAAUGUAGCUUUUUUUGUUGAAUCCAUGGACCCGACUCAGAUGUUGAACGUCAGAUUUCAUAUAGGGGGCAAUUUGUUCGAAUUGGUCCUUCUAUGGACUAUGUUGGAGGAGAUGUAGCCUACUCUGUGAUUGAGAGAGAUAAGUUGUCUUUGCAGGAGGUCAAAGGUUUCCUUGCAGAUCAUUUGACAGUUAAGGAAAGCAUGAAGUUUUAUUUUCUUAUGCCCGUCAGAGACUUGAUUAAUGGGUUGUUGUUUCCACAUGAUUAUGUUGGUUGCAUGAGUAUGUCAGAUCAUACAACAGAUGGUGGAGUUGCUGAUAUUUUUAUGGAGUACAAUGGGGAACACGAUGAAGGAGAGCAGGAAAGUGGUUCUGACUUUCAGGAUGAAAUUGAGGAACACAUGAACAGUGGAAGUGAAUAAGAUAUGCCUAGCAAGGAAGAAAAACAAUGAUAGAAGGAGGGAAGAGGGGGAAGCACCCAAAGGAAAGAAGCUUAGCAAGCAUGGAAUUCAAAUCACUUGUGGGCCAUGUGGGGGUAAGGGACACCACAGAGGAUCUUGUUUGCAGAAUGCUGAUAGGAACGAAAAAAUAAAGCUUUUCUUGCAAAGAGAGGGAAAAAACAAAGGUCCAUUGAGGUACUAUGGAACUCAACAUUAUCAAUGUUUGUUGUUCUAAUUAUCUAAUAUGUAGCUCACCAAUGCUUGUUCUUUUUCCUAUUUGCACCAAGCAGAGACUAAGGCUGCCAAAAGCAGGGCAGCUACAACUAGAUCUUCAAAACCUGCAAGCAGGACUCAGCAUGCAGCAACUACAAGCUCACAACCAGCCACCUCUAGCUUCAGACCUCCAAGAGCAACAUCAACUAGAAAUACACCUAUUGGAGGAAGUACAUGUGCUGGCAGAGGAUCAGGAACUACUGGAGGGAGUACACGUGCUGGAGGAAGUAGAUUUGCUGGCAGAGGAUCAGGAAAUGCUGGAGGGAGUACAUCUGCUGGAGGAAGUAGAUCUGCUGGCAGAGGUUCAGCAACAGGAUUCAUGGCCUAUUUCACAGCUUCUGGGAACUACUGAAGUUGUGUACCUCUGAAAUGUGGUUGUCGUGUGAACUACUGUUAUUUUGGAUGUGUGUGUGUUCUUGUGAACUACUGGUAUUUUGGAUGUGUGUGUGUUCGUGUGAACUUGUAUUAUGUGGUAUGCUGAGUGAACAUGAGAACAUGAUCUAAAAAUCUGAUGGAUGUGUUCCUCUGAAAUUUGGAAUGUGUGUUAUGUGCUAUGUGAAAUUUUUUGCUGCUGCCAACAAUACUGCAUACUGCCUGUUAUGGCACUAAAAAAUUAGUGCAUUGUGUGAUAAAUUUGCAAACUGCAUUUCAUUGAAACAAAUAUAACAACUGAAUCCAGUACAUUUCACUUUCAUUUGUUCCAUUUGAACUAGGAUAAAAGCAUCCCUAAAACUAAACCUGACACAAAUAUCACAAUGGCACACACCAGCAUCAAGCCUUUCCUAGCUAAACUAUAACUAGUUGAUGAAGUUUGCUCAUUUCUCUUCUGCGCUUCCACACAAACUGCACCAGCACCUGCAUCUUCAUCUUUACACAUUGCUGCUGCUUCAUUCUCUAGCAUCCACACCCUAUCUCGAAGAUCUCCGAGCCAUACACGCAGAAAUGCAGAUGUUGGGUCAUCGUGCCACUCAACGAACCCAUGCUGCUCAAACAGAUAAAUGAGGAGAAAUCAAUCACACGAACAUACAAGAACACAUAGGAGGAGCAGAGAGCACAUACAAGAACACAAAGCAUGCAUAAUGUUUUCUUCCAGGGUUCGCCUCACUCCAUGAAAUCCACCACGCCGCCUUCCUCCCGCAACGCCUGCAGUAAAUCGCGGGCUCGUAAUCCAUCGGCUGCUCACGAUAGGCCACCGGCGACCUGGCCGCAGCGCCCCUCCGUCGAAUCCCUCGUUCGCGUGAAGCGGCGGAACCAACGGAGAAGGAAGACAUAGCCCCAGCGCUGGCAAUCACCGCCCUCUCUUGCUCGCCCUCUCGCGCGCGGAAGAACCCUAGAAAUCCCCACCUGUGUCCCCUGUUAGAAGGAAAGGAGCUGCCCGAGCACUAUUCGCAAUCCUGGUACCACGUCAGCAAAUCCGGGUCUAAAACAAGCUUAAGGAUUAAAAAAUCGAGGAUUAGAGAGUUCAAAGUUGAAGGUGGGGGUUCAUUUACGACUGUGCCUACAAACACACGGUUUAUUUCAGACUUCACUAUGUGGAUAGCUUCACGCCCGGAUUGAAUCCAGCCCAAACUAAACAACUCUGGCCUUUAGCCCAAACCAAUCCAAAAGUUUACAACUAGGAACUGUUAGAAUAAUCCGAGGCUCUCCAUCAAUCAAUCAAGGAUCAACCAAUCACACAAGCACGAUACCGAGAUUUGUUAACGAGGUUCAUCGAUAUGACUACAUUCCGGGGCAUGACUACGGGCGCUCCUCCCCGUGACACCGUCACAAUACCACACGCCGGUCGUCCGACUCAUUAUAUAAUAGGCCUAGGGAUAGAGGUGUCCUAAUAGGACGUGAAUCAUAUUCUGUCUACACAUAGUCCAAAACCAGGUCCAACUAUAACCUACCUUGUAGAAUAAUAUUCGACACAACUCUAACAAACUCCACCUUGGCGAAUAUUCUCCGCCACCUUGGAUUCAUCCAUGCGUCGAACCUCCACUUACAUUGGACUUGAGAUACGCCAUGAGCACCACUCCUACUCCGAGACUCCAUGUGACCCCACCUGCAACUUUAUUCCCUUUUUGUUUUCUUCACAGCCAACACUCGAGCAAAAUUUAGUUUCUCAUUACACUACAUUGUGCUUCCAACUUCCGGAAGUAUCCAUUCAAUGUCAUCACACACUGAUCACUCACCUGCGUGAAAGUGAACAACCCACAUAUUGAAUACUAUAUAUAAGAGUUACCUGAACUCAACAUCCUCGCUAUUUCUUGACCGUCCGUGUGAAACUUGAAGGAAUUUCACCGUCGCCUUUUGUCACCCCGAGUCAAAUUCGCACUUGUCUCAUCCUUUUCCCGGAUAGUCUGUGAUAUGUCCCACAGCUAUAGCACUCCACCCUCUUCUGUAUUUGUCAUCCGUAAUUUGCCAUGUGCAGUGAACACCACAGAAUAUACGGCCAUGUACUCUCUCCGCUUAUGACAAUUCAGACUUUCCGUCACUUUCUCAGAUUCUCCAUGAUCAACGCCCAUCCAUGAACCGACAUCGAUAGACCGAGUCACCAACUUGAAUUCGAUACUCGCCAACACUGCUUUAGCAGCCUUUGCACAAUUUGUCUGACCACAUGUGUGACCAUUGGUGCCUUGGUGUGCGCUGUGUCCCAUGCUUACCGCAUGCCUCGCCGCUAUCCCCGCGUCGAGCAUCUGCUGUCCUGGUCGAGUCUCUAGGGCUGCAGACCCACACCACUCAAACCCCUAUUGCAGAGAACCACCGAUCAUCACCGAACGGUGUCGAGUAUCACGUCUCCAUCACACCACUCGUACCCAGUCUGAUCCAUGUGUCUCUCACUAUCCUGCUGAAAUAGGCUCGAUUCUCCAACGUCUUACACGUAGCCCCUCCAUCAGCAUAGAGUGAAGUUUUCCGCUAGACUCCAGCUCCACCUUCAACAUCACUCCAUGUAGCUGGCCCUGCUACCCCGCGCCCUGUCGACUUCAAGCUCUCGUGUGUGCACUGUCUUGAAUCAAUCAUGCGUCAUAGUUUGUCGAAGCCACACAAGCCUCGGGCUUGCACCACGUGUUUCUACGCCCCAGAAGUUGACCACCAUCAGCAUCAUGCUCUUAUGUCGUCAUCAUUGAAAUCAACUCCAUCUUCUAUUUUGACCGACAUCCGCGUCGAUCCGUCAGACUGUCUAGUCUGAUCGAGUCAAAAUUAUUUGACUUCAACCAUGCUUCACCCUGCGCCUUGUCCGCCCUCACAUACUCGUUUAUUCUUUAACACCGUGUGUAUGUAUGAUCCUACAGACAUACUCCAAACUCCUCCAAGCCUUAUGCGUAUGUCGCCAACCUGCCAACCUCCUGGUAAAAUCCCGUGUGCAAUUCUCAACACGAUCCAAAAGAAAACCGGAUUUCAUGAUAGCGUCCAUGAAUACACCGAGCAUAUCUCCACAACUUCAAAAACUCCUUUUCUUUAAUCAGGUUGCAUCCAAAGCUACGUACAUACCAUGGUGUUGCAUAUUACGUUUUUUUCACCAACAAAUCUCACAUGCAUGCACAACACCACACGGAUCCUUUGCAUUGACCGUAUGGUUCGCCUAGGCAACAACCCAUCAAAGCACCUCGGGAAAAUCAUCCGUCCGUGCCAGUCCGGGCCUACAACUGCGCCAAGCACGCCCGUGGGGCCCUUCUAGCCCACAGCCUCGCCCAACCUGAGUUAUUUGCCCCAGCGCUCGAGAUGAAGGGGCUGUUUGGAUUGUGACUAUCUUUGCCAUAUCUUACCACAUUAUUUUUGCCACACUUGCCAUACUUGCCUUACUUGAGUUAGCUCAAAUUGUUAGCCACACAUUGGCUUGCCUAAGGAAAUCUUGUCACACUUUUUGUGUCUAUGACAUGUGGGGUUUAGUACUCACAAAAUAUGCUUGCCUUAGGUGUGGCUAGAACCAAACACCCAUCUAACUUGGUCAAACUUGCCUAAGAUAAGUUGUGGCAAAGUGUGGCAAGGUGUGGCUAGGAACCAAACAGCCCCGAAGUCUCUGCCUCGCAUCCUCCUCUGAACGAGCGCCUUUCCUCCCGUUCGAUCGAUCGAUCGCCGCUGCUUGCAUAUAUGUCGUGCACGCUUACGCGGCCGCUGCCACGCGCUCCACGAUCGAAAAGAUACGAUCUCGUCAAGAAACACUUCGCGUUGGCCCGACCUGCCGCUUUCGAUGGCUCCUUGCAAUCGUCCGCUUGGGAUCGAUUUCUCAUCCGCAUAUGCCACUCCGUCGGCGACAUCUUUCCUGCGAACAACCAACCCAAGCCGAACGUUUUUUCUUCUAGAUCAACGAUAUGCAACCUCCUCGAACCUUGCUCAUGAUACCACUUGUUAGAAUAAUCCGAGGCUCUCCGUUGAUCUACCGAGGACCAAGCAAUCAUACAAGCACGACACCGAGAUUUGUUAACGAGGUUCGUCGAUAUGGCUACAUCCUCGGGGCAUGACUACGGGCGCUCCUCCCCGUGACACCUCACAAUAACGCACGCCGGCCGCCCGGGCGCCGACACACGCCGCCGGCUCCCCCGCGUGCAUGUGCUAUUAUGUUGGUAUAUGUUACAUCGUGUAUCCACCCUCUCAUUAUAUAAGAGGCCUAGGGGUAGAGGCGUCCUAAUAGGACAUGACUCAUAUCCUGUCUACACAUAGUCCAAAACCAAGUCCAACUGUAACCUAUCUUGUACAAUAAUAUUCGACACAACUCUAACAGAAACCAAGCCCAACCAAAUUAUAUGUAUUUUGUGCCCAAACCCAUGCAAACUAUUCCCCUUCUUUGAUCCAAUCCCUAGUUUCAAACUGGGGAUACAAGAAGUUGGUGUGUUGACGUCCGUGUGUGACUCCACGUCUACUGUCUGCCGCAUGCAUGAUUGCCCAGUCAGCCGUGAUCUCAUGCAUGGCAACCACAUAGGCAAGGUGUUUCAGUUGAAGGCAUCGAAACCGCCCAUGUCAAUGACGGGAAACUACCGAGAGACACUAGGCCAGCUUGCCGUCGAAGGCGUUGCCCAGGCCCUAGUGCACGUACUCCAUCGAAACCGCGAACAUGCCACUCAUGCUCCGCGACUUGAUGGAUGAAAUGCAUCGAGCUACAUAGGUGCAUAUGGUAGCUGAUCUUUCAAUACAAUUUGGUUGAGAGACUGGAUUUUGUACAUGAUUGAUCGAAUGGUUUGUGUCCAAACCAAAUCAAUCCAAUCCAAUGGUUUAUCAAAUCCAAACCAAAGUAGACUGCUUUAGAUUCCCAGACUAUUUAACCCAACCUAACAAAGUCCAAUAGCAAAACCAAUCGGAAACUAAGGUUUCAGCCUAAACCAUUGCCACAUCCUUUUUUUGUUUGCACGCGGAGCUACUCGUAUAGUAGAAACACUAAAAAGCCGUCUAGCCCACGCGCACGGGUUGCAUAGAAGCCAUGUGACAUCCACGCACACUAGCUUGGGUGAUCAAGUUUAUGGACACAAGCGCACAACAAAAUUUUCAUGUCGGCCAAAGGAUUAUGCAAAUAGGUAGUCGUGACCAAAAAACGACCGUUUCAUGCACUUUGGUGUUAAAACAUUACAUUUGACAGAUGAUAUACCUCUGACUAAUAAUGCAAAAAAUAAAUUUGUCGGGCCACUACGCCACCGAGGAUAUGUCGCACGCCAGCCUCCUUUCCAUGGACCUACCGUGAGCACCAAACCAUAGCGAGGCAUUCGAAUUUACCCGUUGGGCCAUUACGACGCCGAGAUCACCUCGGAGGGUGAGAGAAAGUGGCUCCACACCUUCGAGACCUUGAGGUUGUUGUGCACGUGUAAGACACGGUGACAUGGAGGUACGCCCGGGGCCGGGCCAAGCUCAAACUCUCGGAGGUGGAAUCAGCCGAGGAGGAGCAAUUCCUCACACCUUCGAUAUGGAUUGUGACCCGUGAGGAGGAAAAGGUUAGCCGCGUGGCCAUUGUGCAACGCACUGCCAAGCCAAGGGGUACGUUAUCCUCCCUUCCUUCGAAUUUACGUGCGUAAAAAUUGAUCCAAAUGGAUGUAUCUAGAACUAUUAGUUCUAGAUACAUCUAUUGCUCUCACAAGUAUUUCCACACGAAGGGAGUAUAUGCAAGAGCUCGAUGAAGCGAGUACAGACAUCAUGGUGGCGAAGCUUUCAUUCUAAAUUAAGAAGGACAAGGAGAAAAUGAAGAUGGAGGAUGAGCAGCACCAUAGCAUGAAAACCCAUCCAUGCAGCCGCCACCGCCUUCCACCUCCCCCUUGUUGUCGGCAGGGCCUGGUCCUCGUGCGCUCACGAGGUGGACGUGUAUCCCUUCUUAUGGAUUGGGUGAUGUGCUCUUUGAUCUCGCGACCAUGGUAUGUCGUUGUUGGUGGUCUCUCCCGUAACGGUUAGGUACCUUCCUCGGGUCUUGGCGAGGUGGUGGGGCUCUGGGCAAAAGUCAUGUCGUCAAUGGGGAUCAGUUACUGAUGAUGAUGGCACAACACUAUUUUUUUCCUUUCAAGUCGUCAUCGAAGAGUUCGUCUUCUCCACUAGGCCAUGGUGCGUCCCUUCUUGAGUUGCCUUGGUGUUUGUUAGUGUGGCCGUACCCUUUUCAAGGUUUGGCAAGGAGUUGUGGGCGAACUCCAAGCGAAAGUUUUAUAGAUCGACAUGGGAUCAAUCUGGCAACGACGGUCACUCUAGUGGUCGUGUUUCAUUCUCGAAGGUGUUUCCAAAGAUCUCACUCACUUUUUUCGAGUCGGCGGUGUUGUUUAAGUUGCCCGAUUUGUGGUUUUUCGCCUCAUUGUCCCCUAAUCAAUUAAAUAAUUGUGUAAUUUUCGGCCCAGUUUAACUUAAAAAUUAGAUCAAUUUGAUUCUUCUGUAUGAAAUUGCAUGAGCAUCCUACCCACUUGAGUAGGUUACAUAAAGAAAUCAUACAAAUAGGAAAGUUACAUAAAAUGUGGAACCUUAAUAGAAGAAAAUAACUUGUCACAUUACGUAUAGAAAAAGAAAAGGAGAUGUCAGUGGGCUUUACAGGAUUUUUUGUUUUUUUCUAGCUCUGAGUAAAAACAAAGAAAAUUCAGGUGGUGUUUCUUUACCCAGGGACUAGACUAAUAAGUCCCAGGUAAAGAAAACAGGAGGGACUUUUCUUAAGGAACUAAGGAGGUGUUUCUUUUUAGAGACUUUUUGGUGUAGGGACUAAAAAAAGUCCCUAAAAGUCCCAUGGAAAAGAAAGAGGAGGAACUUUUAGGUACUAAAAGUGGUCAUUUGGGACUAGUUGAAGAAGCCCCUUCAGGAGGGACUUUUUCCCACCGUACCCCUGCGCCGCAUCUUAUCCACGCGCUUCCUCCCGUCCGCUCGCUCCUCCCCUUCUCUUCCCCGUCGCUUCUCCCCUUCCCAGCCACCAGUGCCCUGAGCAGCCGCCGCCGCCAGUGCUCCGUGCAGCCGCCGCCGCCAUGGCCACCAAUGAAGAGGGCACAGCCGCCGCCGCCAUGGCCACCGAUGAAGACGACGAGGCGCAGUGGAUCUCCCAGUUCCCGUCAAGGGUAAUAUGGUCUUUUUGCAAGUCAUUUAAUGACCCCUAGUCCAUGUUUAGUCCCUAGAAAAAAACGGAUAGGGACUAAAGACUUUUUAGUUGGGAUUAAAAAAAAGUCCUAGGACUUUUAUAAAAACAGGGCCUAAAAAAACUAUAUUGAAGGAACUUUUUCUAUAGUCCCUUGGGAAAGAAACACCACCUCAAUAGAACGUGUGGGAUAGAGGAAACACGAUAGCAGCAUUUGAGGAUUUAAAUAUCUCUGCAGUUGGCAUGCUGCAACUGCCCGUGCACCGUGGUUCACGGAAUCAGAGAGAAGCAACGCGAUUCAGCCGUCUGCUGACAUGGGAGGGAACGCACUCCACCCCCAGAAAUUCAGGAGUGCUGCUGCAUUGCCCUAUAUUUAUUUAUUUUUCCUCUUGGGCGUUUUUUGCUUCUUUUGCGCGCGAAAGCCUGAUGUACCAUCCCGCCCAAAUCUUGCACAGUCACGACGGAGAAAUUCCGGCGACGAGUCGCAUUACUGAAGAGCGCAAGCGGAACGGAAGCCAAUCACGCGAUAUAAAAGAACCAAAAUCAAGACACAUGACACAUGAAACUGCAUCGCCGUUGCAAUUCUCAUCUUGUUUAGCGCCUAAUAAGGUGAUGAUAUUAGUGGCCUCCUGGAUUAGUCCGUUCCCCGUCGCUGCACCGCAAAAGCACUCACUACCGGCGGCGGCAGCCCCUAUCUACUUUCCCGAAGCGGCGGGCCGAAUGCCGCUCGCGUUUUCAUCUCUCGGCUUCGCUUCACUUGGCGGCGUAGCUGGGGAUCUCGUAGAUCUGGUGGAUCCUCCAGAUGUCGUCGUCGUCGAAGCACGCGGGCUCGGCGCCGGCGACGGAGACGGGCCGGAAGUCCUCCUCCACGAACGGGAACCACCCCAGCAGCUUCUCCUCCUCCACCCCGAACGUCCACCACGGCGACCCGUCCAUCUCGUCCCACUCCGCCGGCAGCCCGCACGCCACCUCCCCUCCUCCUCCUCCUCCCGCCCCGACGCUGACGNNNN
RNAcentral lists this long non-coding RNA (53093 nucleotides) under Hordeum vulgare. Its description in RNAcentral is "long non-coding RNA (HVUL_LNC006195)". Lineage: Eukaryota; Viridiplantae; Streptophyta; Magnoliopsida; Poales; Poaceae. The record is from RNAcentral.